UUUCCCUUUCCCUUCCCUUUGGAAGAUGAUGUUUCGCUCAUGCGGCUUCGUUUGUUGGACGACAUAGUUGGGAGAGAGGUUGGAAUAGAUUCGGUGAGAAUUGGUUGACAAUCGAACUCAAAAUUUGGUUGGAGAAAAUUGUCGAACAUCUUGUGGGCGUGCCUUGAAAGAGUAGAUUUUGGAGAAUUUGGUUUGAUUCUCUAGCCUCCUUGUGUGUGGGAUUUGGAGAGAAGGAACGAGGAGGGUUUGGAAAUAAUGGGGGAGAAAAUCUGACUUUUAAAACGCCCCAACUAGGUUCGGACGGCCGUCCCGAUUUUUGUGCUAAAUUUCGGACGGCCGUCCGAAAUUUUUUUCUCCUUACUGGUUUUGGGACGGCCGUCCCACAAAUUAACCAUAUUUUGGGACGGCCGUCCCACAUGCUGUGAUGCUGGACUUUGCCUUCUGUUUCCCGGACGACCGUCUGGGAUUUUGCUUGCAAUUUCGGACGGCCGUCUGGCCCCCCCGACCAUGUUUUCGACCCUGAAAAUUAAAAUUCAAAUAAAUUAAUUAGAAUGCAUGCCUAUGACGAUAAAACCGAAACGAAAAAUUAAAGAAAAACUACGAAAACCAAAAAGCUCGGGUUGUCUCCCGAGAAGCGCUAAGUUUAAAGUCUUCAGCCGGACGUUGCUUCUUUAUUUUCAAGCAAAAGUGACCGAAGGCACUUGGCAAUAUUCACUCGCUUCCCUAUACGGUUUGAGCCGGCUGCGCUUCACGUUGAACGUACGAUUUGAAUCUCGCUCCUUUAUUUUGACUACCUCGUGAGGAAGAAUUUCUUGGACAAUAAACGGCCACGACCACUUUGAUUUGCGCUUCCUUGGAAAUAAAUAAAGACGGGAUUUGCACAAUAACACCAAUUGUCCUUUGUGCAAUUCCUUUUUGAUUUUAUCCUUACGACCCCUAUACCUUGACUCAUCCUUCUCUUGUGGCUUGCUCGAUUCUUUGGGUUGCAACAUCCUCCUUGCACUCUCAUCGUCGUUAAGACCCCAACUCACAUGACUUUCUCUCGGAGGAGUUGAAAUUGAGUCCAUGAAGUAAACUUGCUCCUUCCGAUUCUCAUCUCCGCCAUCAUCUCCUGCACUCAAAGAUGCUUUCCCAUUGUCCAAGAUCAAAACAUCAAACUUUUCAUUAUUUGUAAAAUCCAUAAGCUCAAUAGCAAAACAAUGAUUAUUAUCACAUGGAUUUUUAUUAGCACUAAAAACAUUGAAUUUGAUUGUUUGAUCAUGCACAGUCAUUAUAAGAUCACCACUAGCACAAUCAAUGAGAGUUUUCGACGUGGCUAAAAAUGGCCUCCCUACGAUAAUAGGUAUCUCCCUAUCCUCAUCUAUAUCAAGUAUAACGAAAUCUACAGGGAAGAUAAAUUUAUUAACCUUCACUAACACAUUCUCUAAAAUACCUUUUGGGUAAACUAAAGAUCUAUCGGCUAAUUGAAGAGUUAUAGCCGUCGGUUCAAUUUCCCCUAACCCAAGGUUUUUAAAAGUAGAAUAAGGCAUAAGAUUAAUGCUAGCGCCUAAAUCAAUGAGCGAUCUAAAAUUUUUACCUCCUAUAGUACAAGGAAUAGUAAACUUACCUGGAUCGCCGAGUUUUUGUGGAAGAGGCCGAGUAAGAAUUGCACUAAUUUGCUCCGUGAGUUGGAUCAUCUCGUUCCCUUGCAAUUUCUUACUUUUCUUUACGAGGUCCUUGAGGAACUUCACCCACUUUGGCAUCUUUUGAAGUGCUUCAAUGAAAGGAAUAUUUAUGCGAAUUUCCUUCAACUUGUCCAAAAAUCUUUGAUAUUCGGCGUCGAGCUUCUUCUUUAUAAACUUUUGAGGAUAAGGAAUUGGAGGGACUUGUGAAGGCACCGUCGAUGGUGGCUCUUCAUGAGUUGAUUCUUUUUCCUCAUUUUUUUUCGGCUUCUUGAUUACCGUGUUUCUCUUCUCUUUUCGUGGGGCUUCCUCCAAUUUCUUACCGUUCUUCAAGGUGACUGCUUGGCACGUCUCGACCUCGAUCUUUUUCGUUAGCAAUCUUUGUGGAUAUGGGAUUGGCUCGACCCAUUCGGCUACAGUGACUUGCGGCUUGACUUGAAUUUCUUCCUUUUUCCCGAUCUUGAAAUCGAUAGCUUGGCACAUCUCGAACUUUUGCUUUCGAGGAUCUUCUGUAUUUGAUGGCAAUGCUCCCGCCGGACGUUUCUCUUGAUUCACAACGAAUUGAGCGAAUUGAUUCUCCAAAUUCCGCAGCGAGGCUUGGGUAGCGGUCAUGAAUUGGGCCAAUAUCUCAUCCGUGUUUGAUUUUUGGGCCAGUGGAUUGUUGCCUUGAUAGCUUUGUUGAGGAGGGGCUUGAUAUCCUUGGCCUUGUUGAUUUCCUCCAUAUUGCUCUUGUGAUCUACACCCUUGAUUUUGGAAUUGGCGAGGCGCAUUAUUGACGUAGUUGAGCGAUUCCACAUCUUGUUGGCAUUGGAGCGUGUAAUGAUUUCCACCGCAAAUUUCACAACAUGGAGAAUCAACGGCUUGGACUUGUUGUGGUGGAUUUGCUUUGAUGUGCUGUAGAAGGAGUUGAUUUUGUUGAGCAAUUUGGGUCACUUGGGCUUGAAGGGCCGUAAUUGCAUCUAACUCCAACACUCCGGGAACUUUCUUGGCUCCACUAACCGUCCUCUCACUUGACUUGGCAAACCGAUUUUGUGCAAUUUGAUCCAACAUGAUAAAUGCAUCCGGUAUCGAUUGACUCAUGAAAUUUCCCCCGGUUGAUGCAUCUAAGACAGUUCGUGCAUUCUCAUUAAUCCCUUGGUAGAAGAUGUGGAUUCGCCGCCAUUGUUCGACUCCAUGUGUUGGACACUGCCGCAAAAGAGUUUUAAAUCUCUCCCAUGCCUCGUAUAAUUGCUCACCUUGCUCUUGGACGAAAUUAUGAAUUUCUCGUCGGAUUCUCUCGUCUUUCUCGGGUGAGCUAUAAACUUUCAUGAAAUGGUUGAGGAGUUGAGGCCACGAUGAGAUAGAGUGGGGGGCUUGGGAUAUCAACCACUGGCGAGCUCUUCCUUGUAAGAAUUUAAUUUAAGCGCCUCUUGGGAAACGCCGUUUUGACGACGGGAAUUACAGGUAUCUAGAAAAUUGACAAUGUGAAGAUGGGGAUCUUCACCUACCAAUCCACUAAAUAGCCCGUUAUUUUGGAGCAUCGUCAAGAGGCCUUGCUUGAUCUCAAAAUUGUGCGCCUCAAUGGGUGGAUAUUGGAUGCUCGGGCAGAAUCCGUCUAGAGUUGAGAUUAUGUAAUCUUGAAGUGCCCGUGGCCGAACUGUUGGCUGUAAUGGAAGUUGAGGGGGUGGAUCUUGGACUUGGUUUCCGUUGGCCUCGAGUAAAUUACCCUCUGCGCGUCUGCGUUCUUCGCCCUCCAUUAUAUUGUUUUCGCGUUGAAGUCUCCUAGCGGCUCGAAAAGUACGUUCGAUUUCGGGAUCAAACGGUUCUCUAGCAAGAUCGAGUCUCCUACGCAUACACAGUACCUAAAACAAAAAAUAAAACAAAAAUUAAAUGGGUGAAUUGUGAAAAUUGUUCAAAUCUAGAGCUAGAAUAAAAUAAAUAAUUAAAAUAUUCCCCGGCAACGGCGCCAAAAACUUGUUGGGUGUAAUACCUACACGCAAGUGCACGUAUCGUACAAGUAAUAAAGUGGAUUUUUUAAGUCCAAGUAUCGAUCCCACAGAGAAUAUUUAAUUAUCUAAUCCUAGACGCUAAAUUCUACCAAUUGUUUUCAAGCCCACCCUACACAGUCGAAUUUGGAAAAGAUUAACUAAAUUAAACUAAAUUAAAGCAAUUAAAAAGAUAAAAACAAGAAAGCAAUUUAAACACGAAGAUUAAUCAAAGUAGACAAGCCUAGGAUUUUAUUCUUCCCCCUAUGUGAUUAUUACUCCUCCAAUUCUUUCAAUUAUGCAAGCAAUUAACCCGGAUUAUUAACCUGAGAUGCUAAAAUAAUCAUAACCCGCUUCCGCGUGUAUUACGAUUCUAAUACUCUAGAUUCAAUUACUAUAUUCCUAUGCAAUUAAUGCUAGAACACAGCAUUAAGCACAAAUCUCAAUAAUGGCUACCUAAGAGAUUAACUAUAUUCCUUUGUUAAUGCCACAAAGAUUCUUCUACCAUAGUUCUAAUUAUUAACCCGAUCUUCCGAUUCAUGCGAUUAACAAUAACAUAAAAGCACAUAAGGUGAUCAAGUUCAUGCACUUAAUAAAACAAGUAGAAGAAAUAAUCCGGAAUUAAAACUUGCAUAAAAUCAUAGAAAAGGGUUCAUAAAUCCCACAUAGGGUUCCGAACAAAAUCCUAGACAUAAGAAAUUUAGCUACUCAUGAUUAAAGGAAAAACACAAAUAAAAUAAAUCAUAAACGAUAAAUCGUUGCUUAGAGUCUUCGAAUUCUUCGUCUUCGUUAUUGCUUUGUUGCUCUUGAAAUUGCGUAAAAGAUGGAUCCCCAAUUGUGUGCUAUAGAGUGGAAAAUAUGGUGAAGAAGGUAGUUUCCUUGUGCAAUUAGGAUUCCUUUACUGCGCCUUCUCGUCAUCUCGGACGGCCGUCCCGAAUUUUGUACUAAAAUUCGGACGACCGUCCCAAAACCAGUGGUGGCUUCUACUUCUCAAACGGCCGUCCCAGUUUUAAGUGUAAAUCUGGGACGGCCGUCCCAUGCUAAUUGCUUCAGAUUUUUGAUUUUUUCACUUUUGGCCCAUAUUUUCUCCAAAAUUGCAGUUUUGACCCCAUACUUUUCCAAUUCUUUAAUUUGUACCUAAAAUACAAUAAAUCAACUUUUUAAGCACCAAUUAUCGUUAAAACACACCAAAAGAUCAAAUAAAAAGGUACGAUAAAGUGUAAAAAUAUACACUUAACAGCUAACAAAAAAAGGCAGAAUUCGAGAUUCGUUGGAACAGGUCACACUUUGGCGAAGUAUCCUACAAAGAAACUCCUCAGAGCUAGAAGUAUUAUAGGAAUGGCCAUAAGAAUGGGUGCAUCAUGACAUCGUAAGAUGUCUCGCCCGAAUGAGUUCGUUUGUACUAGAAAUGUUAGAAAACGUGAACGAAAAGAGUAAUAAGAAGUGAAAAGGACAGAGACACUUGCCAACCACAAAGCAAAGUUCCCACUGAUGGUAUACUUAGUGUUAGCGAGCUCUAAGAUCACGUCUUUGGAAUAAAAUCCAGUUAGAAAAGGAAAUCCAAUUAGGAAUAAUCUGCCCAGGAGCAUCAUGGCAUAGGUAAAAGGAAACGAGGAGGCAAGCCCCCCCAUCUUCGGCAUAUCUUGCUAUUUUCUUAUUCUAUUUGUUCCUAUAAACAAUUAGAAUUCCCCUAUACUAUUGAUAAGGAACGUCAAAUUUGAUUCGAAUUGCAAAAUAACUAUUUAAUUCGGAGAAGAGUUAUUAAUGGGCAUUGCGCAUUGGUGGAAAUAUCGAAAGAAAUUAUGGAAAAAUAAGUGUUUUCUACGAACUCAAAUUGUAUUUGAGUACGAAACGAACUCUCUCUCAAGUGAAACGGCGCAAUGAACAGAACUCAUGAGCAAAACUCAUGAAUCACGUCAAAUUUCAGCAAUCCAACGUCGUUUAGACUCCCAAAAGUUCGUUUUUACUAUUUUAGGCAAGUUUUAGAAAAUUAAUAUCAAAUCAUAUAAUUUUUUUUUUUUUACUAUUUUAGGCUCGUUUUUGCCGUUUUUGGUAAUUUUUAGUAUUUUUUUAGUUUAAUUAGGGUUUUCAGUUUUAUUACUAUAAAUAGCUGCUUUAGGACUUUAUUUUGAGAAGAAUCUACGAAUUUUAAUAAAAUCUUUAGAGUUUUUUUCUAUUUUCUGGUGGAUUCCGAAUGUUAUUUUAUUCUAUAGGAUUAAUUCGUAGAAAUUAAUUCUUUAUCGUGCUUCCGUUCUGCGUCAGUUGGCAUCAGUAGCGAGGUUUUUCCUGGUUAGAUGGCGAAAGGUGCGAAACAUGGAGACAAAAACUACGUUGGCGAUGACCGCGGGGUUGAAAAACUGCAAAAUCUGCGGUUGGUGCGCGAGGGAUUUGCCCUUGACAACAACAGAAGUAAUGGAUCUAACAUGAUGAUUGCCAACGGUGUAGCCCGAGGUGCAUAUGUUAGACACAAUUAUCAUGGACAUGUUCAACUUCAAUCAAGAUAUGAUGACAAUUCAAAGGUGAGCGGCAACUUUGAGUUUGAAGAAACCCCGCCUAUAAGAAGGCAAAAGGAUCAUGAUAAAUCUCGGGUAAUAGUUGAAAUUCCUUCUUUUAGUGGAAAUUUUCUUGAAGUUGAGGAUUUUAUCGAUUGGGUAUCAGAAGUCGAAAGGUAUUUUCAAUUGACGGAUAUUUUGCCAAAUAAGAUGGUAAAAUUGGUGAGGUGUGAGUUAAAGGGUAGAACAACCGCAUGGUGGGAAGGGAUACAAUGGAAGAGAGCUAGACAAGAAAAAGUUCCAAUCCAAUUAUUGAGGAGGAUCUGUUAACAAGUAUACUGCUGAGUUUAUGAGACUAUCAAACUUAAGUAACCUGCAAGAAUCCAAAAGUACGGAAAUUUCAAGAUACUUGGAAGGAUUCAAUAUUUCAAUACGCCUUAGGAUGGGGUGGCGUACAUUCGACUCCCUUGAUGAGGCUCAAAAGUUAGCAUGGAGGGAGGAAUAUUAUCAGAAGCGAAAUAGUUAUUCUAGAAAAACCGAAGAUGUUCCACCCGUUGUCAAAGUUAAGGAGGCACAAGAUACUUCGUUCGUUAUUCAACCUCCAAAUUUGGUGGAUGAUCCUGACAAAGUUGAAAAAGGAAAUUGUCGUAAAAGUUAAAAGUAGCGUAGCUAUAAUAAACGAUGACAUUAACGAUGUCAAAGUGAACGUCAACGAAGUUGAAUGAACAGUCAACGAGCUUGAAUAGAGCAUCAACAAAGUUGAAGAGAGCGACAAUGGGAUAGAAGAGAAUAUUCGAAAGAUAGAAGAAGAAGUCGAAGAUUUUAAAGAGGGUGUUAAAAGUAAAUUUGAGGAAGAGUUUGAAGUUGCAGAAUUUGUUCAAGAAGAGGAAGGUGCACGAGAAGAGAAUGCACAAGUGGAUUGCGUCAGGCCAUGAAUGCGCAUCAAGAAACGUGCACAAAAACACUCGCUAGAAAAGAUACGCACAUAAGUAGAAGUACAAAAGCAUGCAAAAAAGUACUCACGCAAAAGUGCAUUCGCAAAAAGUACUCACGCAAAAGUGCAUUCGCAAAAAGGAUCAUGAAAACACAAACUACGGUCCUAGGACAUUAAUACAAAUCAACAAACAUGCACAAAGACACUCGCUCAAAUGGACAUGCACAAACGUACAUGUAAAAGGACAUGCGCAAAAGUGCCUUGGCAACAACGUUCUUAAAAACACGAACUACAAUACUAGGACUAUAAUACGCAUCAACAAACAACAGCAAAAACACUAGAUAAAAAAGAUAUACAGUGGAGUGUAGAAAUAAUGUAUUAAUGUCCUAGCAUUGUAGUUUGUGUUUUCAUGAUCCUUUUUACGAAUGCACUUUUGCGUGAGUACUUUUGUGCAUGCUUUUGUACUUUUACUUAUAUGCGUAUCUUUUCUAGAGAGUGUUUUUGUGCACGUUUCUUGAUGCGCAUUCAUGUCCUCGAACUGUAGUACGUAUUUUCAUGAUCUCUUCCGGAAUCCAAUUUUGACCAUGUUCGAGUCCGAAUUGGGAUUUUUGCCGUUGGACAGGAAUUGUAGCAGCUGAAAUAGCUUUCUAAUGCCGCCGGAACCAGUUGAUUUGGAGUCCAGAUGAGAAGGUUAUGCUCGACCUCGUGGACACCACCACAAACGUUGAGGGAUUCUCUCUUCUAAUUUGAUUUCAUUUUGCUAAUUGCAACUAUUUUCUUACUCUUUGAUCAUUUUUGCUUCCUGGACACAUAAUUGUUGAUUUCUACCUAAAAGAUACCAAAUACACCAAUUAAAACAUAAAUAUAAAUUAAUCCAAAAAAAAAAAAAAAUCCACGUAACCGUAAACAAAGAGUUUCAUUUCUACACUCCAAUGUAUCUUUUUUAUCUAGUGUUUUUGCUAUUGUUUGUUGAUCCCUAUUACAGUCCUAGUAUUUUAGUUCGUAUUUUUAGGAACGUUGUUGCGAAUGCACUUUUGCGCAUGUUUUUUACCACGUAGGUUUGUGCAUGUCCAUUUCACCGAGUGUGCUUGUGCAUGUUUGUUGAUUUGUAUUAAUGUCCUAGGAUUGUAGUUUGUGUUUUCGUGAUCCUUUUUGCGAAUGCACUUUUGCGUGAGUACUUUUGUGCAUGCUUUUGUACUCUUACUUAUGUGCGUAUCUUUUCUAGCGAGUUUUUUUGUGCACGUUUCUUGAUGCGCAUUCAUGUCCUCGAUCUGUAGUACGUAUUUUCAUGAUCUCUUUUGAAAUCCAAUUUUGACCAUGUUCGAGUCCGAAUUUGGAAAUUUGCCGUUAGACAGGAAUUUUAGCCAAGUGAAAUAGCUUUCCAAUGCCGCCAGAACCAGUUGAUUUGGAGUCCGGAUGAUAAAGUUAUGCUCGAAUUCGUGGACACUACCACAAAUGUUGAGGGAUUCUCUCUUCUAAUUUGAUUUUAUUUUACUAAUUGCAACUCUUUUCUUACUCUUUGAUCAUUUUUGCUUCCUGGACACCUAAUUUUCGAUUAGUACCUAAAAGAUACCAAAUCGACCAAUUAAAACAGAAAUAUAAAUUAAUCCAAAAAAAAAUCCACGUAAACGUAAACGUAGAGUUUCAUUUCUACACUGCACUGUAUCUUUUUUAUCUAGCGUUUUUGUUGUUGUUUGUUGAUGCGUGUUAAAGUCCUCGUAUUGUAGUUCUUCUUUUUAAGAACGUUGUUGCGAAUGAACUUUUGCGCGUGUUCUUUUACAUGUACAUUUGUGCAUGUACAUUUGAGGGAGUGUGCUUGUGCAUGUUUGUUGAUUUGAAUUAAUGUCCUAGGAUUGUAGUUUGCGUUUUCCUGAUCUUUUUUGCGAACGCACUUUUACGUGAGUACUUUUGUGCAUGCUUUUGUACUCUUACUUAUGUGCGUAUCUUUUCAAGCGAGUGUUUUUGUGCACGUUUCUUGAUGCGUAUUCAUGUCCUCGAUCUGUAGUACGUAUUCUCAUGAUCGCUUUUGGAAUCCAAUUUUGACCAUGUUCGAGUCCGAAAUCGGAAAUUUGCCGUUAGACAGGAAUUGUAGCCAGCUGAAAUAUCUUUCUAAUGCCGCCGGAACCAGUUGAUAUGGAGUCCGGAUGAGAAAGUUAUGCUCGACUUCGUGGACACUACCAAAGAUGUUGAGGGAUUCUCUCUUCUAAUUUGAUUUUAUUUUCCUAAUUGCAACUCUUUUCUUACUCUUUGAUCAGUUUUGCUUCCUGGACACCUAAUUUUCGAUUUGUACCGAAAAGAUACCAAAUCCACCAAUUAAAACAGAAAUAUAAAUUAAUCCAAAAAAAAAAUACACGUAAAUGUAAACGUAGAGUUUCAUUUCUACACUCCACUCUAUCUUUUUUAUCUAGUGUUUUUUCUAUUGUUUGUUGAUGCGUAUUAAAGUCCUAGUAUUGUAGUUUGUGUUUUUAAGAACGUUGUUGCGAAUGCACUUUUGCGCAUGUUUUUUUACAUGUACGUUUGUGCAUGUCCAUUUGAGGGAGUGUGCUUGUGCAUGUUUGUUGAUUUGUAUUAAUGUCCUAGGAUUGUAGUUUGUGUUUUCAUGAUCCUUUUUGCGAAUGCACUUUUGCGUGAGUACUUUUGUGCAUGCUUUUGUACUCUUACUUAUGUGCGUAUCUUUUCUAGCGAGUGUUUUUGUGCACGUUUCUUGAUGCGCAUUCAUGUCCUCGAUAUGUAGUACGUAUUUUCAUGAUCGCUUUUGGAAUCCAAUUUUGAUCAUGUUCGAGUCCGAAUUGGGAAAUUUGCCGUUAGACAGGAAUUGUAGCCAGCUGAAAUAGUUUUCUAAUGCCGCCGGAACUAGUUGAUUUGGAGUCCGGAUGAGAAAGUUAUGCUCAACUUCGUGGACACUACCAAAGAUCUUGAGGGAUUCUCUCUUCUAAUUUGAUUUUAUUUUCCUAAUUGCAGCAACUAUUUUCUUACUCUUUGAUCAUUUUUGCUUCCUGGACACCUAAUUUUCGAUUUGUACCUAUAAGAUACCAAAUCCACCAAUUAAAAUAGAAAUAUAAAUUAAUUCGAAAAAAAAUCCACGUAAACGUAAACGUAGAGUUUUAAUUCUACAGUCCACUAUAUCUUAUUUAUCUAGUGUUUUUGCUGUGGUUUGUUGAUCCGUAUUAGAGUCCUAGUAUUUUAGUAUGUAUUUUUAAGAACGUUGUUGCGAAUGCACUUUUGCGCAUGUUUUUCUACACGUAUGUUUGUGCAUGUCCAUUUGACCGAGUGUGCUUGUGCAUGUUUGUAGAUUUGUAUUAAUGUCCUAGGAUUGUAGUUUGUGUUUUCAUGAUCCUUUUUGCGAAUGCACUUUUGGGUGAGUACUUUUGUGCAUGAUUUUGUACUUUUACUUAUAUGCGUAUCUUUUCUAGCGAGUGUUUUUGUGCACGUUUCUUGAUGCGCAUUCAUAUCCUCGAACUGUAGUACGUAUUUUCAUGAUCUCUUCCGGAAUCCAAUUUUGACCAUGUUCGAGUCCGAAUUUGGAUUUUCGCCGUUAGAUAGGAAUUCUAGCAGCUGAAAUAGCUUUCUAAUGCCACCGGAACCAGUUGAUUUGGAGUCCGGAUGAGAAAGUUAUGCUUGACUUCAUGGACACUACCACAAAUGUUGAGGGAUUCUCUCUUCUAAUUUGAUUUUAUUUUCCUAAUUGCAACUCUUUUCUUACUCUUUGAUCAUUUUUGCUUCCUGGACACCUAAUUUUCGAUUUGUACCUAAAAGAUACCAAAUCGACCAAUUAAAACAGAAAUAUAAAUUAAUCCAAAAAAAAAAUCCACGUAAACGUAAAGGUAGAGUUUCAUUUAUUUUUUAUCUAGUGUUUUUGUUGUUGUUUGUUGAUGCGUAUUAAAGUCCUGGUAUUGUAGUUCGUCUUUUUAAGAACGUAGUUGCGAAUGCACUUUUGCGCAUGUUUUUUUACACGUACGUUUGUGCAUGUCCAUUUGAGCGAGUGUGCUUGUGCAUGUUUGUUGAUUUGUAUUAAUGUCCUAGGAUUGUAGUUUGUGUUUUCAUGAUCCUUUUUCCGAAUGCACUUUUGCGUGAGUACUUUUGUGCAUGCUUUUGUACUUUUACUUAUGUGCGUAUCUUUUCGAGCAAGUGUUUUUGUGCACGUUUCCUGAUGCGCAUUCAUGUCCUCGAUCUGUAGUACGUAUUUUCAUGAUCUCUUCCGGAAUCCAAUUUUGACCAUGUUCGAGUCCGAAUUUGGAUUUUUUCCGUAGACAGGAAUUCUAGCAGCUGAAAUAGCUUUCUAAUGCCGCCGUAACUAGUUGAUUUGGAGUCCGGAUGAGAAAGUUAUGCUCGACUUCGUGGACACUACCACAAAUGUUGAGAGAUUCUCUCUUCUAAUUUGAUUUUAUUUUCUUAAUUGCAACUCUUUUCUUACUCUUUGAUCAUUUUUGCUUCCUGGAAACCUAAUUUUCGAUUUGUACCUAAAAGAUACCAAAUCGACCAAUUAAAACAAAAAUAUAAAUUAAUCCAAAAAAAAAAUCCACGUAAACGUAAACGUAGAGUUUCAUUUCUACACUCCACUGUAUCUUUUUUAUCUAGUGUUUUUGCUGUUGUUUGUUGAUGCGUAUUAAAGUCCUAGUAUUGUAGUUCGUCUUUUUAAGAACGCUAUUGCGAAUGCACUUUUGCGCAUGUUUUUUUACAUGUAUGUUUGUGCAUGUCCAUUUGAGGGAGUGUGCUUGUGCAUGUUUGUUGAUUUGUAUUAAUGUCCUAGGAUUGUAGUUUGUGUUUUCAUGAUCCUUUUUGCGAAUGCACUUUUGCGUGAGUACUUUUGUGCAUGCUUUUGUAAUCUUACUUAUGUGCGUAUCUUUUCUAGCGAGUGUUUUUGUGCACGUUUCUUGAUGCGCAUUCAUGUCCUCGAUCUGUAGUAUGUAUUUUCAUGAUCGCUUUUGGAAUCCAAUUUUGAACAUGUUCGAGUCCGAAUUUGGAAAUUUCCCGCUUGACAGGAAGUGUAGCCUGCUGAAAUAGCUUUCUCAUGCCGUCGGAACCAGUUGAUUUGGAGUCCGGAUGAGAAAGUUAUGCUCAACUUCGUGGACACUACCAAAGAUCUUGAGGGAUUCUCUCUUCUAAUUUGAUUUUAUUUUCCUAAUUGCAACUAUUUUCGUACUCUUUGAUCCUUUUUGCUUCCUGGACACCUAAUUUUCGAUUUGUACCUAUAAGAUAUCAAAUCCACUAAUUAAAACAAAAAUAUAAAUUAAUCCGGAAAAAAAAUCCACGUAAACGUAGAGUUUUAUUUCUGCACUCCACUGUAUCUUUUUUAUCUAGUGUUUUUGUUGUUGUUUGUUGAUGCGUAUUAAAGUCCUAGUAUUGUAGUUCGUGUUUUGAAGGACGUUGUUGCGAAUGCACUUUCGCGCAUGUUUUUUUACAUGUACGUUUGUGCAUGUCCAUUUGAGCGAGUGUCUUUGUGCAUGUUUGUUGCUUUGUAUUAAUGUCCUAGGACCGUAGUUUGUGUUUUCAUGAUCCUUUUUGCGAAUGCACUUUUGCGUGAGUACUUUUGUGCAUGCUUUUGUACUUUUACUUAUGUGCGUAUCUUUUCUAGCGUGUGUUUUUGUGCACGUUUCUUGAUGCGCAUUCAUGUCCUAUGCCAAAAAAUGUCAACCUUGUCAAUUUCAUGCAAACUUUAUUCAGCAACCGCCAGAGCCAUUACACCCUAUUGUUGCCUCAUGGCCCUUUGAUGCUUGGGGUUUGGAUGUGGUUGGACCUAUGACAAAGUCUUCCGCUGGACAUCUCUAUAUCUUGGCAGCAAUAGACUACUUUUCCAAAUGGGCUGAAGCAGUGCCUCUGCGAGAAGUAAAGAAUGAGAACGUUGCCGAUUUCAUCCGCAUCAACAUCAUCUACCGUUAUGGAGUUCCUCGAUAUGUGAUCACAGACAACGGAAAGCCAUUCUGCAACGGUGUGAUAGAUAAACUUUGUCAAAAGUUUGGCUUCAAGCAAAGAAAGUCUUCAAUGUACAACGCUGCCGCCAAUGGACUCGCCAAGGCCUUCAAUAAGACUUUAUGUAAUUUGCGGAAGAAAGUGAUCGCCAAGUUAAAACGUGAUUGGCACGAAAGAAUAAGAGAAGCUUUAUGGGCUUUUAGAAAAACGUAUAGAACAUCUACUCAAGCCACUCCAUAUGCGUUGGUGUACGGUGUGGAAGCAGUCUUGCCUCUUGAAAAACAAAUUCCAUCAUUGAGGAUACCUAUACAAGAAGAACUCACUCAAGAAGAAAACGCUGGUUUGCGUGUUGCAGAAUUGGAAGCUCUUGACGAGAAAAGAUUAGAGGCACAACAAAGUAUUGAAUGCUACCAAGCUCGUCUUUCUAGGGCGUUUAACAAGAAGGUGCGGCCGAGAUCGUUUCAAGUUGGAGAUUUGGUACUUGCCGUAAGGAGGCCCAUCAUCGUCACACAUAAAACGGGAAAUGAAUUUACUUCAAAGUGGGAUGGUCCUUAUGUCGUCAAAGAAGCAUACACAAAUGGAGCGUACAAGUUGGUUGUGGAAGAUGGUUUAAGAAUUGGUCCGAUAAAUUGAAAGUUCUUGAAGCAGUACUAUGCAUGAAGCGGAGGAGAAGGCUCCUGGCCCGCAUGAGUUGAAACUGUGCAUGGCUAAAAAAAAAAAAAAAUUCUAUCUUUUUUUUUGAACUACGUUAUGACUUGAUCCCAUUCGGGGUACGUAGGCAGCUUAGAUAUUCUCUAAGUUCAGUCCUUUCCUAAAAAAAAAAACAAAAAAGAAUCUAUCUUUUUUUCUUUGAACUACGUUAUGACUUGAUCCCAUUCGGGGUACGUAGGCAACUUACAUAUUCUCUAAGUUCAGUCCUUUCCUAAAAAAAAAUCUAUCUUUUUUUUUUGAACUACGUUAUGACUUGAUCCCAUUCGGGGUACGUAGGCAGCUUAGAUAUUCUCUAAGUUCAAUCCUUUCCUAAAAAAAAAAAACAAAAACGAAGAGCUGUUGAACGCUUCAACUUGGCUAAUGAAGAAGGCGAAGGCUGGGCGAGAGACUAGGCCAACUUAAUGCUUACUGCCAUGCCAUGGUUGAAGCUUUAGGCUCCAUAGACGUUAAGGUUAGCAGCAAACUCCCUAUUGGUUCACUGCCUAUUACAGAAAAUCAAGUCUCAAGUUAAUUAUGCGAGACAAAAGGAAGUUUAAAAAGAACCACGAAGGUUAGACAAAGACAGCAUAGAAAAGAACUCGAAUCCUAUAUAGUUGACGCAUAAUGGAAGCACGGUAAAGAAUUAAUUUCACGAAUUAAUCCUAUAGAGUAAAAUAACAUUCGAAAUCCACCAUAAAUUAGAGAAAUCUCUAAAUAUUUUAUUAAAAUUCGAAAAUUCUUCUCAAAAUAAAGUCCUAAAGCAACUAUUUAUACUAAUAAAACUGAAAACCCUAAUUAUACUAAGAAAAUACUAAAAAUUACCAAAAACGGAAAAAACGAGUUAGAUCCUGAUUCUAGUAGAUCUCUUAAUUUUGGGAACAACCCAAUUUACUGAAUCCUAAUACGAUAAUUAUAUGAUUUGAUAUUAAUUUUCUAAAACUUGCAUAAAAUAGCAAAAACGAACUUUUAGGAGUCUACACGACGUUGGAUUGCUCAAAUUUGAUGUGAUUCAUGAGCUUUGCUCAUGAGUUUUGUUCCUUGCGCCGUUUCACUUGAGACAGAGUUCGUUUCGUACUCAAAUACAAUUUGAGUUCGUAAAAAACCCUUAUUUUUCCAUAAUUUCUUUCGAUAUUUCCACCAAUGCGCAAUGCCAUUAAUAACUCUUCUCCGAAUUAAAUAGUUAUUUUGCAAUUCGAAUCAAAUUUGACGUUCCUUAUCAAUCUCCUCUUCUUCAAAAGAGCUCGACCUCGAGCUAUGAUAAAAUAUAAUGAUGCAUAUUACUUUGCAAACAACUUCAAGUGUUCCACCAAUCUUCCCGACACAAAAAUCUCGCUUACAAAAUCUUUGUCCGAACGAGGCAUUAGAAAAUUGGCUUCUUAAUCAAAAAUCCCAAUGGUUCCACCAAUUUCUUCGAUACAAAAACUUCACAAGAAACACUAUCAAAAUUAGAUCACAUACCUUUGGAAUUCUUCUUUCUUUAGCCGGGAAAUAUUCUUCGUAGAAUAUUUUCUUCCGUAUUCGAUUCGAGAGUUUGAGACACAAAGUAACGUUCGUUGUACUCGGGAUUUUGAGUGCUCAUAUGCCGAGUUAGCCGUUGUAUCUUGGGAGAUCAUUGCCAAAUAACCGUAAGCACUGUAGCGGGGCAAUAUUGUCUUAAGGAAAGAGUUUUCUCGCCUCGGCUAAUCUUUUCGUAUUUUAACUAAUUAAUUUGUUCGAUCAUUUUACUAAAUUCACUACCCGUUUCAUAUACCGGGAACAAUAAUCUUAAGACAAUAAUUUGUGUGAUUUAGUAAAGUGUGUUUUCUGCACACGUUGGUAAACGGGAUGGAAAAGAAGAUAGUCUGCCAAAAAUCAAGAAGUUACAAAAUCAAAUUGGAGAAAAGUUCAUUUUCGGACAAAACAUGAUGUCCACGUUCCUUCCCAUUUUCGAAGAUGUUAAAGUACGAAUGUGAAAAAUUAACAUGUCACAGAAGUUGCAGAUAAUCAAGUUGGCUUUCCAGAACAUGUUAAAUCUUCACAAUAGGAGAUUGUACGGAGGAGUUAUGGUAAAAACACGAAAGAGUGUCAAAACUGCCAAUGCACCUUUUCAUGUAAACUACAACCGUUCGUGACCAAUGCAACUUGUCGCAUAUUAAAUGCCUCACCGAUGUCCAAUGCACGGAAUUUUGGUGAAAGAAGACUGAGUCGAAGAAUAAUGAUGAGGUUUUAUAUUAUUUUCGAUUCAUGAAUAUUAUUUUAUAUUUUUUGUGGUUCCAUUGUAGGUGCAUUUUUACAGCACACCUAUUCUGACUUCGAGUCUUACUUUGAUCAUGAUCCAGUUUCAAUCUCAGAAAAUGUGAAAGAUAAAAGUUGUAGAAAGUUUUGUUGGCUAUUCGGAUCAUAUUAAAUCAACAAAAUCGAACUUCAAACAGAAGAGAUAUGAUUAAAUCAUUCAGCACUGCCAUAAUAUUGACACGAUUUGGUACUACCCACAAAAUUUUGAAUUGACGAACAUAUAAUUUAUCGGGUACGCUUUUUUAUUAUAAGAUAUCUAUUUGUGCAAUAAAUUGAUAACUUUAGAUGAUAUAAUGGUGGAGUAUUGCAUGAUAGUUCAAUUUUCAUAUGUGGAAGCAUGGUAAACCAUAUAAAAUAUAUAUGCUUCAAUGAAUAUUCAUUAUGUUUGUGUAUCUACAUUAAUGAUCCAAAUAAUUUUAUCCUAAAUGCAAUAACGUGAUAGCGUAUGUGCUAAUUAUUUAAAUAAGUUUAUUAUAAACCGCAUGAUAUGUGCUAUACUACAUGACAUUUCUCAUGAAAAUGCAAUAUUUAUUUGCAUGAGUUGCAUAUUGUUUUGAUAGGGGAUUGGCUUUCUCCCAAUUUUUAUUUGAUGUGGAACCGUCCAGUUGAUUAAUUUUUGAAUAUGUUAUAUGAAAUUUGUGAGUACGUGAUCUUAUUAACGUUUUUAUUAUUGUCUACGAACGAUUAGACUUGUCUCGUAUAUUAAGUAUGAGUUACUUAGUAAGAGGAAUAUUAUUAUAUAUAUUAUUAUUUGCGUAAGCCAUAUUAAUUCCUCAUAAUUUUGUUAUUGCAUGGACAUGCAUUGAUUACGUGCUAUAGAAUUUACAUCAUCAAUUCAUUAUGUUGGAUAUAAAUUAGUUUAUACCAUGAAAUAAUAUCCAAACUUGGUGUUAUUAUGUACUCGUGCGUCUAUACUAUGUAUAUGUUGAUAACGUAUGCUUGAUCUAUUGUUUCUUUCUAGGAUCUACUAGUAUGAAAAUCGUGGUCACAUGUCAAAUAUUAUGUUUAUUAUAAUAUUGAUGUACAUAUGUUUUAUAUAUGAAUCAUACUACAAUGCAAUUAAAAGCAUGAUUGAAAUGAAAUAGAAAGAAAGAGAAGCUCAAUUCAUGAGAGCACAUGAGUAGUGCUUGUCUCAAGAACACAAAACAAGAUCGAAUCGUUGGUUCAAUUUGAUUUGAUAUCACAUUUGCAAGAUUAUGAUCUACAAUAUGAAUGGAUGAGAUUGAAUUUUGAUUUUUCAAACAUCCGAAAUAGUUGUAAACAACAAUGGAUGUUUUGUUAAGAUCUCGUCUUGUAGAAUUAAAUCGUUGGAUUUGGCAUAAAUUUGAACUGUAUGUUUAGGACAUACAAUCCUAAAUUAUGAAUGAUUAAGAUUAUAAUUUAUAUAUUCUAACUUUAAUAUAUUGAAUACUAGUGGAGAUCAACCACCAUUUCAAGACAUUAAUAUUCUCUUGUUUAUUGACAAGAUUUAAGUAUCUUGACGAGUUUUCUCUUUUUGAGGAAAAGAAAGAAAUCUUAUUAUCUUAUUUGUUGACAAGAUAUAAGUAUCUUGAGAAAUUUCCUCUUUUUGUGCUUUCUUUAGAGAAAGAAAUACAAUUCUUUGUAAUUAAAUCAUAUUGGUGAUCCAAUAUAUUUCUCUUAAUAAAGAAAUGUAUUUUUUUAUAUUGUAUAUCCUUAUUAAUAUAUAAAAUAAGGAUUUCAAAGCAUUUCAAUGUUAUGUGAUGAAAGUUGGAAAAUGCCAACUUUGACAAAUGAAUUAAAAAAUGAGUACUGAAACUUUUGGAAAAAGUUUAUGGAUAUCAAAUUGAUAAUUCUAGAAUACAUACUCUAGAAUUUGUUGGGGAAAUUAGAUAUCCCGGGCUAACCACAUUAAUAUUUAGAAAUGUGGGGGUCUUUAGGCCCUAACCACAUAAAUUAGAUAUCCCGAGCUAACCACAUUAAUAUGUAGAAAUGUGGGGGGUGUUUAGGCCAAGGUAAAAAAAUGCCUAAGUUAAUAUAAGGCCUCGUAUAGUCAAGUGGAUAUAUAUUAAAUAUGUAAAUAAUGAUUGUGCACGAGAUAGUCACUCUUGAUGCAAAUUGAUUAUAUUGUGUUUUAUUGAAAAUAAGAAAAUAAAUAAGUUUUAAAUAAGAGAACUUAUAAAUAUGUAAGUGGUAAAUCAUCAAAGUGAUGAACAACCAAGUUAAAAUAUGUAUGAGUGGUAAAUCAUCAAGUGAUCAACAACCAAGAUACAACAAGAUGGCUAAGAAAAUCAAUAUGUUUGAUUUUUUAACUUAUGAGUUGUAAAAUGAACGAAGGACAAUUAUUGAAAUAUUGUCUACAUUGGAAGAAUGUACGUGGAAGUUAGUUUGUCUUCUUCCAAGUAGUAAACCAUUAAGGUUUAAAUGGACUAUUCAAAAGAAGGAUUAAUGGUGGUCCUAUAUAUAUAUAUAUAUAUAUAUAUGUUUGAAUCAAAGACGAGGGUCUAGACGAUGUAAUCUUAUAGAUUAAACUCGCUAAGACAAAGAUAGUCUUAUUGAAAGUCUUGAUCUAGUUGUCUGAAGACCAGGUCUUCACUUUGCCAAAAAAAUGAUGAACAAUGGUUCAAUAACAAAUAAUUUUGGAUAGUUUGGCAAUAUAUUUUUUUACGUAAUCCCAAAAUAAAAAAAUCAUCCAAUGAUAUUAUAAGGGUUCUUAGGUAAUCUAAGUAUCGCCUUUAAAUGGAUUACACUAGAGAAAAUAUCCAAUUUUAUUAGGAAAUUACAUUGGAUAUAUGAGUCCACUAAGAUUAUGUAUCUUGGAAAUCCUCAAAGAAAAAUGAAUAGCUCGAUUCAUGGUAGAAUUUGAAUAUAUAGCUUCAGAUAAAGUUAGAAAAGAAAUUGAAUAAACUUCACAAUAUUAUUGGAGGAUGUUAUGUGUUGGACUAAGCCGGUGCCAGCAAUUAUGAAUAAAUUGUGAUAGCCAAUCGGUUAAGAUAAGGGCACAAACAACAUGUAUAAUGGCAAGUAUCGACACACUCGUACACAUAAGACCAUUAGGAAAUUGUUCUCAAAAGAAAUAAUAUAACAUUGAUUAUGAAAAUCAAUGGUUAAUAGCGGAUCCGCGACUAAAAGUCAACUAAAGUGAUCAAACAUAUUGCCUGUCUAGGGGAGUGAGAUCAAAACCCAAAAAUUAAGAAUUUCUAUAGUGGUAACCCAACCAUGAUGACUGGUGAUCCCAAGAACUGGUUCAAAAGGGACAACUAAGCUAUUGAAAUUCAGUGAUGCACUAAGGAGUAUAUAUUUCUAUGGAAUUAUAUAUUUCCAAUUCAUUGCCGCGAUAGACAUUAGUGCUGCCUGCAGAGAGGGUAAAGGAUAAGCAAAAGCUCUUAAUAAUUCCAAAACCUUGACAAAAGGUGAUGUAUUGGCAGGAUACCUUUAAUAGGACAUCACCUAUCUGGGUGUAAAAGUGUGGGCCGCUUCAAAAUGACAAACACUUAUGAAUCCAAGAUGUGCUCCAGGGCCAAAAUGGACGCAACCAUGAGAACUGAUGAAAUGUGGGAAAACUAUUGUUUGGAUAUCAUUGUCUUGUUUUACACAAACGGCUGGCAGUUCAAGACAUCGCGUUCACUAACUAUGCAAGUAAAUCCGAUGGUAUGCCGCUAAGGAAGGUUCAACACCAAAAGUUACCUAUCCCCAAUGCAGUAGUUUCCACUUGAAAUCUCGAUAGAAUCCAUCGUUUUUCGUUAAUUUCACUCACGUGGGGAAUUGUUGGAAAUUUUAUUUAUUAAAAGAAAAUUAUUUUUAUGAAAAUUAAAAAAGGUUUUUAGGCACCUAUUUGAUCAAAUAGGUGUGACAAUAUGAAGAGGUGUGACCACACCUUUUCAUUUGUUUAAUUUCCUAAGGGUUGUGUUCAUUAAUCACAAUCAUUGAAAACUUAUAAUAGAAACUCCACAUGUUUGAUUGAACAACAUAACAAAAAUCAAUUCAAUUCCAUAAUUUUGUUCUAUGGAAUUCUUCUUUCUUUAGCCCGAAAAUAUUGUUCGUAGAAUAUUUUCUUCCAUAUUCGAUUCGAGAGUUUGAAACACAAAGUAACAUUCGUUGUACUCGGGAUUUUGACUACUCAUAUGCCGAGUUAGCCGUUGUAUCUUGGGAGACCAUUGCCAAAUAAUCGUAAGCACCGUAGGGGGGCAAUAUUGUCUUAAGAAAAGAGUUUUCUCGCCUCGGCUAAUCUUUUCGUAUUUUCACUACUUAAUUUGUUCGACCAUUUUACUAAAUUCACUACCCAUUUUAUAUACCUAAUUUUAACCAUAAUCCUACUCCUAAUGCUAAUCAUAAUCCUAAUACUAAUACAUGUCACUAAUUGUAGUACUAAUCAUAAUCAUAAUUUUAAUGUAAUUCUAAUACUAAUAUUAAUUAUAAUCCUAAUCAUAAUUCUAAUAUUAAUUAUAAUAUUAUAUUAAUCCGAAUCCUAAUUCUAAUUAGAAUACUAAUACUAAUUCAAAGAAUAUUAAUUAUAAUCCUAAUUCUAAUGUUAAUACUAAUCAGAAUCCUAAUUCUGAAUUUGUAUCAAUAAUUUUUGCAAUGAUGUAUUAUUUUGUAUCAAAAAUAAUUAUAUUCAAUCUGGCAGCCUUUAUAUCAACUUCCUUAUUGGUGGUAGCUAAAGAAUCCAAAAACACAUAUUAAACAUACUAGAAAUUAAUAUUUAAUUAUAUUAUCAAACUGACAUUAAAAUUAUUUAAAAUAUUAUGAGGGUAUACGCGAACGUCAAGACGUAAAAAGAAGAAUAGUCGUUGUUAAUAGGAUAAAUUAUGAAAAUCCUCUUGUACUUUGGCUAAAUUACGGAAAACACCCUCAUUUAUCGGUAAUUACAAAAUUCUCCUGAAGUUUGUAUCUAUCUUACACGAGCCCCUUAAGGUGUGAUUUUUUACGGAAUCUUUUUUAUUCCAUGUAAUAUCCCAAAAAACUGUGGAUUCUAUCCUUGUAGACGUGACAUUUUUUUUUAUCUUACUUUUUAAAUACAAAAAAUACCCUUAGGGGAGGUAAAGGUAAUAUUAGAAAGUUCUGAAGGUGUUAUUUAAGAAGAAUAAAUUAAGAUUCCUUGUAUAAUCUCCCUCAGGGUAAUUUUUUUCAUUAAAAAGUACCAUAAAGAAAUGUCACGUGUGCAGGAUAGAAUCAACAUUUUUCGGGGAAUAUUCCAAGUAAUAAAAAAAAUCCGUGAAAAGUCAUACUGUGAGGGGGUCGAUGUAAGACGGAAACAAACAUUAGGGGAAUAUUGGUAAUUACGAAGAUGUGGGGGUGUUUUUCUUAAAUUAGCCGAAGUUCAGGGGGUUUUCGUAAUUUAUCACAAUUAAUAUACAAGUUAAAUUGAUUUACACGUAUGACCAUAUAUGUUAGAAACUAAUAUAAAGGCUGAUGCUAAUAAAAAUAGAUCAAAUUUCAAGUAAACAAAAGUCACUAUAAAAUUCUUCUAUAGAUAAUGAAUGGAAAAAUAAAAAUUAAAUGAUUUUUUUUGUGUAAACCAGUCGAAUAUAUUGUGAUUUCAAAAAUAAAAUAGAGAUAGAGGAUCGAUAUUAGAUUCUUAUAAACAUUAUAAAAUAAAUAUUUUUAUUUUACAAAUAUUGUAAAAAUGUAGAUUAACAAAAUAAAUAUAUCUUAUUAUAUAUGAUAGGGAAAUAGAAAACUUAAGAAUAUUUCACUAAUUUAGAUACGUAACUUGUAAGUUUGACAAAGGAACUUAUGUAUUCCAAUAUCAAAAUAUAGUGAGAUAUAUACGGUGUUAAAAUAUUUAAUAAUCAAUUAUUUACGCUAUAUACCCUAUAUUAAUAUUUUUAUUUUCCUAUGAUUUAAAAAUUUAAUUGUAAAAAUUAGUCAGAAUAUUUAUAACUAAACAUUUUGUUUCCAUGAUGGAUGUCUAUAUCUUUACCCACACUAUAAUGAAUUGUAGUAAAUCUCGUAUAAGUUCAAUAUGAUACCAAUAUCGUACCAAAUGAAAUGAUAACCACUAAUUUGAUAUUUGUUAGAUAACUUUUUAUUGGUAUACUAUGAUACUUGAAAUGUAAUAACUUUUUCCAUCCAUAGCAACAAUAUUGCAUCAAACUUUCUCAAUUUGGAAAGAUACACACGUAAUUAUGCAAUUACUUCUUUUAUAAUUUUAGUCUUCUAUAUAAUAUAUAAAUAUCUUAUUCAGUUUGUAACUAAAAAUGGAUCGUAGAAACUACUGAUUUGCCGACUGAUAUUGUAUUUGUUAAUGUAAACUAUUUAAAGUAACAACACCUCGAGUGGGGUCAUUAAAUGGGUUAUCAAAACAUUUAAUCAUUAUUUUCAUACUAAAAAAUAGUAAUUUUAAUUCCAAUAGUUUUUUUAUAAAAUAAGGGUUGUAUUUUGAUAUUUCAACUUUCGGAAUGUAAAAAUACUUCAUCCGGAAUAAAAUAUCAAACAUGAGUUACGAAUUUAACCACCUCAGUGUCCAUUUAGAAAAUGACAUGUGGCAAUUAGAUAUAUCAAUCAAUUUAAUUAUUUUUAAUUAGCAACCAUUUAAUACCUAUGGUUGGAGCAUAUUAAAUAUCACAUAAAUAUUGGCAAAAUCAUUUUGAUACUUUUGAGUUGGAGUUGCUCUAGAUAUGUACUUAAUUAUAUUUAUCAAAGUUAUAGAGAAAUACUUAUUAGUGAAAUAAGAUAUAUAGUAUAUACGAUCAUUAUACAUUUUAAACAAAACAACAAAUAUUCUUAAUUUUUGAUAUUAAAUAAAGUGAAUAAAAGAAUUUAAUACCAAAUAUUUAUAAUAGUAUUGUUAUAUUUUGAAAUAUAUAAAAUCAAUAUUUUUUUAACAAUUGAUUAAACUUAACUUAUGUUCUUCAAUUUGUUAGUAUAAUUAUGAGAAAGUUUGUAUUUUAAUUAGUAUAUAAUUCAAAAAAAUUAAAUCAAUCAUAAAAUUUAUUGUCACUGGAUUUGGUGAAGAAAAAAGAAAACUUUAAACAAUAACAUGAAAUUCAGGUAGUAUAAUUUUCAAUAUAAUAAAUAAUUGGGAUAAUAUUACUGCACACAUGGCAUAAAAAAAAUAAUGCCAAUUUCGGCAAUAUAGCGAAUUCGAACAUGAAUCUUCCGUUUAUAUAGAUAAUGAUAAUAUAUAAUAUUAAAUUAGUACACAAAAAAAAGAAGCAUAUUCUUUGAUUAUGUUCAUGUAAAAUGUAUAAUAUAAUAAUAUCAAAUGAUUUAUUAUGCAUAUUUUUUUAAUAUAAAUCCAAAUUUAUUAAUUAAAAUACAAAAUUUCCGUAACAACACAAGUAAUGCAACUGCAAUAAGGGAAGACUUUAAAUUGAAUUUAACUAAAUUUAAAUUUGACUAAUUACUAUUAAAAUUAAAUUCAAAAAUAAAUCUAUUUAUAGUUUCCAAGAUAGUUGAUAUAUUUAGAGCAUUUAUACUCUCUCCGUUCCUUAUUAAGUGUCGUUUUUUGCUUUGCACAAGUAUUAAGAAGCUCAAUAAAUGUGUCUUGAUUUUAGGUAAAAUAUAUUAGAAAGACUAAAAUAACCUUAAUUAUUUAAUGAUGUGGAGAGAGAGUUAAAACUUAUAGUUGAAUUAAUAAUGUUAAAAUAGGAAAAAAUGCAUUUAAUGUAGUAUUGGAAAUCUAAAGUGACAGAUAAUACGGAACACAAAUAUUUUUAAAAAGAGACAGUUAUUAUGGAACGGAGGGAGUAAAUAGUAGGAUAUAAUAUAUUAAUAAAAUAAUAAAAUAUAUUUAAUUAUCUUUAAUUUUGGAAAUGGUGACAUAUUUUUUGAUAAUUUAUUUUCACCAAUUAAGUUGCCACAUGGAAUGAAAUUGAAUACAUGUCAUCAAUUGAAAUUGCCAAAUGUCAAAUAAUUGAUGAUGAAAUUCAACUUUUAUAUAUUAUAUAGAUAUAGAUUAAUUUUUUUUUUAAAUAAUUGUCACUUUAGAAUUCCAAUAAAUUAUUUAUUGUGCUUUUCUCAAUUAUGCCCUUACUAAACUUAAGAGAAUUACUAGUAAAACAUUUAUGAAAGUGGUUUUUUAGUUAUUUUAUAUUGAUUUUUCUAGAAUCUAUGCACAAUUAUUAGUUUUUCAAAUGUGUGUGAAUUAUCCUAAAACGACAAUUAAAAUGGGAAGGAGGGAGUAUAUAAUAAGGUGUAAAAUAAACAUGCAUGGCCGGUUCUAACUAUAGACGAGAGAGGUGGACGCCUCGAGCCCCCGAUUUGAAAAACAAAAAUAGGGGCCCCAAAAUAAUGUUUUGAAUUCUAUAAAAAUUGAGGCCCCAAAACAUAGCAACUACAAUGGUACAUAUAAAAAUUAAGUUAUCAAAUACUCAUUUGAAUUUGAGAUAAUAUUUUAAUAUUAAUUUAAAAACCAUCUACUCCACUCAUGAUUAUAAAAUUAAUUUUAAUUGGAAGUUUAUGGGUGAUUUUAUUUAAAUUACGGCAUGUCAACUUGUGAUUGGUUGUUUAAGUAAUUACAUUUUUUGUUAACUCAAUUUCCAGCUAAUAUUUUUACAUCCCAAGAGGUUAAAUAAAAUACAGCACUCAUUUGAUAACUCCAUUAGUAAAAAAAAUUCUAUUUUUAAAUAUGUAAAUGGUGGUUAAAGGUUUAAAUACCCCAUUUGAUAACUCCAUUUGAGUUUCUCUUAUUGUUAAUUGAUAUUGAAAAUAUAUAAAUAGUUCAACGAUGAAUAACCAUAACUAUAUUAUUUUACGUAUUUUAAGUAUUUUGAAAUGGUUUGCACUCAUUCUUGGAUUUGAUGUAAAUCAAAUUUCUUAGAUCAAUUAUAAUUACUAAGAUUGAGUUUAACUAUCAAUUGUUUUCUAUUUUAAUUUUUUUUUUCCUAGCAAUCUUUGCAUUUUUUUUGGAUUAAUCCCAUUUUGCACCCUUGAAAUAUACCAUUUUAGCACUUUGCACCCCCAAAAAAAUUAAUAGCACUUUGCACCAUGGAAACACAAUAAAUCAUGCAUAAUGCACCCCAAAUGAAUUUUUAAAACUAAUGAAGGUAAUUUAAUAUUUUAAGUGGUAUUUUUUAGGAUGACAAAUGUCAAAUCUCUCUUUUAUUCAUCAAUUAUUUUGAAAUUAUAAGUGCAAGAAUAAAAUACAUCUCAUCAACAUAUUUAAUUUUUUUUUAUCACUAAAAAAUAUUUAAAGAACAAAAACCGUUCAGCUAUUUCGUUAUCAAGUUAUAUGAAAAUCAUAUUAUUUCAAAUAAAUUUAGCUAAUAUUUCCACCGGUUGCAAUAAAAGAUCCAUCAACCAAAUAAUUUAGUGAAAAAGGUUUAUUUUAUUUUGUUAGAAAAUAUAAUUGUUUUUAAUAAUCCGGUGUGAUUUUUAUUCUUUCACACUUUAUGCGCUCGAAAUUAGGUUGGAGGUUGAAGAAAAUAACAAUUUAAUUUGUUAUUUUGUAUUUCGAAAAAAAAACCAAUAAAAAAUGAAAUUUCCUUUAUUAUUCAAUUUAGGGUGCAUCGUGAAUGAUUUAUUGUGUUUUGAGGGUGCAAAGUGCUAUUAAUGUUUUUCAAGGGUGCACAGUGCCAAAAUACUCCAUUUCAAGGGUGCAAAGUGGAAUUAAGCCCAUUUUUUUUAGGGAUAAUUAGGGAAAACCCACUCACCUUGGAAAUAUGGUUAAGGAAACACCCCCUCCCAAAAAAUAAUUAGAGAAAACCCCCUUAUCUAAUAUUCCACCCAUGUGAUAUUUUCAUAAUUUUAAAACUACACUUAAUUGUCUAUUAUACUCUUUCAAAACCCUAAUAUUAUUUUUAAUUUUUUAUCCGCCGCGUCACGCUCCAACUUUUCUCUUCUUCUCUCUUUUCUCUUCUUCUCUGUUUCUCGUCUUCUUUGUUUUUUUUUCCCUAUGUUUUCUCCGGCAAUCUUCUCCGCCGCCACCGCCGCCGGAAGAUGGAGAAAGAAAGAAGAGGAAGCACCCAUCAAACAUUAUAAAUGAUUUUGAUAGUGAUUCUGAAUUCGAAUGCCGAGAUUGGUACAUCGACGGCGAAAAGAGGUAAGAUUGUCGAUUUGUCACUUUGAAUCAGAUUUUGAUGGGCGGUGGUUUUGCUUUGGUUGGUGGUGCGAGUUGUGAUUUGAUUUAUUUAUUUGUAAUAAAAAAACCGUCAUAAUGUCAAAGUAAGGUGGUGAUGGUGUGUUGUGGCGGCGGUGUGGGGACGAUAGGGAGGCAGAUUUAGGGUUUUUUGGUGGAUCAGACGGAGGACGGCGCCUGUAGAAAAUUUCGCGCAGGCUGAAACCUUAAUCGACUAUGUACAUGUUCAUAGUCGAUUAAGCUAAUCGAUUAAGGUUGAUUGACUCCAAUUUUUUUUUUUUUUUUGAAUUUUUUGUUUAUUGAUUCCAAUUAUAUAAAUCAUUUAUAAUGUUUUUAUAUUUUUUAUUUUUGUAAUAUAUAGUUGAUUUUGCAUUUUUUUCGCAGUUGUGAUUUGUUAUUUUUAGUAGCAGAUUCUUAAUCGACCAUGCUUAACAUCAUAGUCGAUUAAUAUGUUUCAUUGACUCCAAUUAGUAAUGUUUUUUUAGGAUUUUUUUUUUUAUUGAUUCUAAUUGUAUAAAUCAAUUAUAAUGUUUGUAUAUUGUUUGUUUUUGUAAAUAUAGUUGAGUUUGCAUUUUUGUAGUUGUGAUUUGUUACUUUUAGUAGUCGGUUCCUUAAUCGACUAUAGUUCAUCAUAGUCGAUUUAAUAUGCUUCAUAAUCGAUUGACACACGUAAUAGAGAAUAAAGUAAAAACGAAAAAAAUAUGCCANNNNNNNNNNNNNNNNNNNNNNNNNNNNNNNNNNNNNNNNNNNNNNNNNNNNNNNNNNNNNNNNNNNNNNNNNNNNNNNNNNNNNNNNNNNNNNNNNNNNUAAUAAUAAUAAUAAUAAUAAUAAUAAUAAUAAUAAUAAUAAUAAUAAUAACAAUAAUAAUAAUAAUAAUAAUAAUAAUAAUAAUAAUAAUAAUCAUAAUAAUAAAAAAGGAAAGAGAGAAAGACACGGCUGUGUCAUGGGGAUAGUGGGUUGAUGGGUCAUGGCCCAUGGAGAUGUGUAAGGUGGAGGGACAUAAAUGGGAAAAUGAGUGGCUGAAAUUUGGAGGCCCUUUUUUUUAAUAACCUACAUUGCCUAUUUCUAACUUCAAAUUGUUUUGGGAAGUUGAAUAUACUAUAUUUUAUUUUAUUAUAUUUCAACAAAUGUUAGAUAUAUUUAAUUGUUCAAUAAUAUUUUCAUGACUAUUUAAAAUAAACUUCAAGGCUUUGCCUCGAACCUCUUAAACUUGUGAUUUACCUUAACUCCAUCAACAUUUUAGUCAUGUUUACUAAAAAGAUUCUUAACUCCUAAUAAAAAAAAAUCAAUCGUGGUCCUUACAACGAGUUAAUCUGUACAUUAUACGAUACAAAUAAGUCCCCAAUUUUAAGAAUUUUCAAAAGUCGCCUAGUGCCCAUAAUUUCUCCGAAACGACCCUGUAGACAUGCUAAAUUUCAAAUCUCAUGUCCAUUAUGGUUCUCACUAAAAACGGGUUCUCACUAAAAACGAAUAUUAUUCGAAAUAUCAUCUCCAAUAUUUAAACUAGAUAUUAUGAAUGUAUGCCCCUAAAAAAAAGUAAAGUAUGUACUUAAUGAAUGAGAGAUUAAUUAAAGAGUAUCGAAUAUACAUAGUGAAUGAAAGGGGGGACCAAAUCUAGAAUGGAGUGGACCUAAAAUUGAGAAGAUAACAAAAGAAUACAGCCUCGUCACAGCGCAUGUACCACCAAGUCACAGAUUCAUCAACAGAAUAGUGACAUUCACCGACUCAUACAUUCAUCCCUCUCGUGACAUAUUUUCACAUGGUUCACAAAUCACAACAUUUCAACCUCUUUACCUUAAUUAUUAGGAUCAUUGUCCCUAAACAAAUUUUAAUACAAGUGGCCUUUGGCCUCUAUCUAUAUUCAUUAUUUAAUCUUUUUUCUAGUCAUUAGUGCAUAUUUGGGGUUUAGCACUCAGCAUUCUUGUGUAAUUUCCUAUGUAGCACGAACAUAGAAACACGGAAACGGAUACGGGGACACGGUAUGUUCUGAAAAUGGGGAUACGGGAACUUGAGGGAAACGUGUAAAUAUUAAAAGUAUAGGGGUAUAUUUAUAAAUAUUUUAUAUAAACAUAUAUAAUUUUUUAUUUAUAUAUAAAUUCUUUUAAGAUAUUUUUAUACAAACAUAUUGAAAAUCAAUUUUACUAUCAACUAUCAACGAUAUCAACUUGCAAUUGAUCAUUAAAUCAUGUAGCAACAAAAAUAUUUGAAAGUUUACUAUUCAAACAUGUUUCUAACUUUUUAGAAAUUGCAAACUGGCCCAUAAGGUAUUCGGCAAGUGUCUUCGAGUUUCCGACACGAAACGUUUCCUGAACGCACAAAUGUUAAGAAGUUGAAGUUUUCGUGCUAAAUAGGUGAUUGCUAAUUGAAAAAAAAAAUAUCUGUGUUAAAAAAUAGCAAACCCCCUAAAAAUUUAGUCAAGGUCAAUAAAGCCCUUGCGCAUUCGUGUACUACACUCGCCUUAUCUACGACUAUGAGUGUAUUUUUCGACGUGAUAAAGACCCAAAUAUUCUUUAAAUGAAAAAUAUUAUUAAUUUGUUUCUUUAUCUUUUUUUUCCUGUUAUUUUGCUGGUGUGGAGGUAAUAUAAUUUUUUAUUUAUUUAUAUUUUAUAUCCGUAUUUUUUUUUUGCCUUUUAAAAUUGAAAUAUUAUUAAAAACAUAAGGAUAAUUUUGUCUUAGUUACAACUAAGUUUGAUAUAUGGAGCGGUGUGCAAAAUAGAACACAACAUAUAGGGUUAUGUGCUAAUUUCUUUAUUAUGAGGAAUUUUUUACACUUUCAGAAUAACAAGAGGGGCCUGUGCUAAUAUCUCGUAUAUGUUUACUACUAUUUUCAAAUGGAAACAAUAUAAUUUAGUACAUAUUGAUUGCCGCAAUGUGGGAAUUUUUACUCCAAUAAAUGUUGAUUCUUUAUGGGCACCAGGUCCGCGUCAUCUACCCUAAUAGGCCGUUGAGUCACCAUGAAUCUACAUCCCUCCAUCGAAUACUUAUCGGACUAAGGGAUGGGGGUUCUGGGGGCAAGGACUUCACCUUUUGAUUCAAUAUAAUUUAGAUGGCACGAGAUUAAUUUUAUUUGAUUUAUAAACAAUUUCUUCAGCGAAAUAGACAACAAAAAUACUUAAACCUAUAAUUGAUAUCAUCUCACUAUGAGUUCAUAAUUUUCGUUCACAUGUAUUCCUUCCUCAAUCCUCAUCUAAACCACCUAACCUCCUUACAUCGCCCACAGUUUGCUUCCCCUAAAUUACCCUCUCCCCCACCAUCCCACCCCCAUCAUCCCCUCAUCCACCAAUUCCAACUUGAUUAUAUAGUGAAAAUGGCCAAAUAGUAAAAAAGAAAAAGAAAAAAGGCUGUUGAAAUUUGCUGCCAGUCGGUCGGCUUAUGAGAUCCUACUCCUAGAGAGAUAUUACUAUGUGUUUUUAAACUGUAAAUCUAUGUAAAUAACUACCCACUAAACCUACAUAAACAUAAGAGUGUGUGUCAUUAUGUGUAAAUUAAUAUUAUAAAAGUACAUGGUGUACUUCACCAGGUUUAGGUUCUACAAAACUGGGUUGUCCCAUAAUUCACGAGAUCCUAGACCGGAAUGAAAAUAAGACCUUUUAUAUUUUUUUGAAGUUAAACAUAUAAUAUAUAUAUUUUAUAAUAUUUGACAAUUAAAUUCAUUAAACAACAAAAUAAAUUACUAUAAUUGUUUUUAUUUAGGUUAAUUUUGUACCAAAAUAACUCGGUUGGUUUUAAAAUUUUGGACCAAUAAUAUAAUAAAACUACAGCUGGGCUUAUUGAAGUCCGUUAGUAGCAUAUCACUUAAACAAGAAAAAAAAAAAAGUAUAUAAUAUGGUUAAUGGCAAAGUGGCAAUGACAAGGGUACUUAAUUAACAAAAGGAACCUCUAAUUUUUUUGUUUUUCAAAUAUAACUAGCAUUUUUUCUCUUGGGAUAUUAUUUUUAAAGUGAAAAAAAAAUCAAUUUAAUACAUCAUAAGAAAAUAUUGUACACUAACAUAGUAAAAUUUAAUAUUGUGAUAUUAUUCAUAUUUUAUAUAACAUUAGUUUUUUUUUUUGAAGUCUUAUAUAUUAAUAUUUAUAAUCCAAAUAUAUAGAUUAACGUUUAACAAAGCGUAAUUCUAUCUUUGUCCCUUAAGAUUUGAGAUAUAUUGAUUAAAAAUAGGAGAUUGAUGAUUGAUGAAAAUAAAUAAUUAGAAAUUAGUAGAAAAAAAAUAUUAAAAUAAAUAAUUACAGAAAUAUUUUUUAGGGUUGCCCCGCGUUUCUUUCUCUGAUAUAUAAGAUUUCAGCUAAUUCAAAACUUAUUUUCAAAUAAGGAAAACCUUUUUAUAUAUACCAAAAUUACCCCCAAUUCCUUGAAACUCAAUUCAACUACAAUUUUAUGAUCUACACCCCAAUUUAGCCCAAUUUCACAAAUUAACCAAUUUUGACCCUUAUUCCAAUUUCGACCUGCCACCGCCGGAGACCGCCAUCAACUUUUUUGUUUUUUUGUUUUUUGUUUUUUUUUUCUGAAUUUUUUUUUCCGAGAGGUCAACCGCCGUUCUAUGGCGUUGACUUUUUUUUUUUAGAAUUUGUUUUUCUGUCAGGUCAACUGCCGGUCUCCGGCGUUAACCUUUUUUUUUUAAUAUUUUUUUUCUUAAAAAAAAUUUAAUUAAUGUUACUAUUUUUGCUGCUAAAUUACUGUCUCCAACAUUAAUUUAACUGUUAAUUGACUUUUUUUUUUUCUGAAAUUUUGUUUUUUCUUAAAAAAAAUUAUUUUAAUUAAUAUUACUCUCUUGAGUGCUAAAUUACUGUCUCCAACAGUAAUUUAACUAUCAGAGACAAUAAUUUAACUGUUUGAGAUAGUGAUUUUCCUGUAUUAUUUAAUUCUAUCGUCUUGACCUGCAAUUUUGCUGUAUUCGACCAUAAUGUUACUGUCUCAUGCAAUAAUAUUACUGUUUGUGACAGUAAUAUUACUGUUUGAGAAAGUAAUAUUCAUAAUAUUACUGUCCCAAACAGUAAUAUUACUAUCAAAAACAGUACCCACCAAGAACCCUAAACACCAAAACAAUCACAUAAUCAGCAAACAUUCACAAUGGAGUCGGAAAACAAGGAGACGGUGGUUUAUGAAGGUAGAUAACGUAAUAAAAUAUGUGUUAACCGUUUAUUUUAGCUUGUGUCUUGUUUUUUCUUUUGAAAAAAAAAAUCGCCGAUACCAGAAAUCGGUAUUCACAUUCCGUUUUUGAAAAAUAAUCAGUAUAAAUGUGCCGGUUUUCCAAACAAAAAUCGGUAUUGUAGUGCCAAACAUUCCAAAAAUAAAUUGGUGUGAAUAUGCCAACUUAAAAAAAAAAAAAAACAGCGCGUCGCCGAUUUCCUAGCUCCGAUUUCAAUCUCAAAAUUUAAUCCUAAAUUGACCAAACCAUUGCAACCUAACAUGAAAUAAACAUCGAUUAAUGUUCACCACGCGUAUUAUCAAGCAAUCAAUGUUCGUUUUCAAGGAAUCAAUGCUCGAUAAAUGUUUUCGAAUUUACCAACAAAAGUUUAGUAUAAAAGAACUUGUUGGUGGUGGUGCGGUGGUGGUGGUGUGCAACAGUGCAAGAGGGUGGGUUGUAUGUCGGCGUCGAUGAGGUGGUGAUCUCCCUGGUCGGCGUUGCGGCUGCGGUGGGUCGGACUCUUUUUCUUUUCUUGGUGGGUCUUGAACAAAUUAAAAAUAAAAAAAUAAGCUUGUGUUUGUAUUUUGGUAAUGGGCAUAUUCGUCCUCUUUGGUCUUGAUAUAAGAAAAUUAAAUAAAUUUGUGGGUUUGAACUAAGAAAUUCUUUUAUGUGUGUUUGAACAAAGAAAAAAUUGGGCUUGCACAUAUCCACCGCCAUUUGGGAGCCCUUAAAAUCAAACUUUUGUAGUGACCCAAAGCGCAGGCCCCUUGGGUAGCACGGUGCAUCGGUAGGUUUGUACCGAUGCAUCCUGUACUCCAUUGUUUCCGGAGCUUCAUGGAAUGAUGGAUGGGUAUCUUCUUAUACUUCUUCGCCUCGUUUUCACCUUUGUUCGCCUAGGUUGCUUUUUAGACACUAAAAUAUUACAAAAACUCGCUAAGUACGACAAAAUCUUGAUUCUAACUCCUAAAUGUAAUAAGGACUAAAAUGCACCUAUAUAAGACACAAAAAUAUAUACAAUUGCUCGAUACUUAGUUUAAAUGGAUGCGUAGAAGUGUACAUUAUAUUUGUACACUUAAAAAUAACAUACACAAGAAUGAAGGUCUUGUAUACAAAUGACAAAAAGUAAGUGCACGUAUCGAACAACUAAAAUAAUUGACAAUUAAUGGUUCUCACGAGAAAUAUUCAACUAUCUAAUUCUAAGCACUAGAUUCUAUCAAUUAUGUUCAAGCCCAUCCUACACCGUCGACUUCAGAGAUGGUGUAACUAAAUUGUAAUUAAAUUAAACUAAAAAAAACAGAUUAAAGAGCAAGCAAAAGCAAGUACUCGAAAUAAGAUUUGAAAGUCAUAGGAUUUUAUCUUCCCCCUAUGUGAUUAUCGAUCCCCCAAUUCUCUCAAUAAUGCAAGGAAAUAACUAGGAUUACAAACCUGAGAUGAUAAUUUAAUCAUAACAUGCUUCCGCGUGUAUUAUGAUUCUAUUAUUCAAGGCUAAGUUAUUGUAUUCCUACGUAAUUCAAUAAAGAACAAAGCAUUAAACACAAAUUUCAAUAAUGGCUACCUAGCAUGCUUAGUAUAUUCCUAUGAUAACGUGACAAAUGUUCUUUUACCAUAGUUCUAAUUCUUAAACCGAUCAGUCGGUUGUUGCAUUCAACAAAUCAAUAAAGCACAUAAAGUGCCCAGUUUCAUGCACUUAAGGAAAAAAAUAGAACAAGUAAUCUGAAAUUAAUCCUUGCAUAAAAUCAUAAAAAUUGAGUUCACAAAUCCCACAUAGGGUUCGAAUAAGAUCCUAGAAAAUAAAAGUUUAGCUACCCUGAAUUAUAAUAAACAUAAAAAUAUAAUUCAUAAGAAAAGAAACUAAAACGAUGCUUGAAAUCUUCGAGUUUUUCGUCUUCGCUUCUUGCUCGUUGCUCUAGAUUGUGUGAAUUCGGUCCAAUUUUCUAGCUUGAUAUUGUUCUUUAUAUAGUGCCAAGACUGGUUGAAAAUGGAGAGUUUCUUGUGCAGAUAAAACUCCUUAACUGCGCGAACGAGUGGCGUCGGACGUCCGUACGAAUUCCAGCUCAUUUUCUCGGACGGCCCUCCCAGAUGAUGAGACGUUUUGUGCAACCGGACGACUGUCUGAUUUUUAAGUGCAAAAAUAGGACGACCGUCCCUAGUCUCUUUUGGACUUCGGUUGGUUUUCUUUGAUUCUCGUCUGUAUUCGCUCCAUUUUUUACCGUUUCGACCUCCAUACUUCCGAUUCUUCAUUUAGUACCUGAAACACAUAAACUAGGUCUUUAAAUAUCAUAUACUCGAUAAAAUUUCGCAAAAGAUCUUCGUAAGAAAACAUAAAUCGAGUGUAAUAUAUACACUAAACACACCCCCAAACUUGAACUUUUACUUGUCCACAAGCAAACACCAGCAACUUUCAAAGAAGGAAAAUUAAUAAAUGCAUCUCAUCACAUAGAUUAAUGGCCAACUUCACGUUUUUAGAACUUUCAACUGUAAUAACACUUCUAAAAAAUUACAAGGUUAACAUUCAAUGACACUUAAUUGUUUAACAUUACCAAUAACCAAAAAUCAUGCUAUCUCUUCGAGUAUCCAAUAUUCUAUACUAUUUAUAAAAGUAUGAAUCUUAGGUGGUUUCUUCCAUUUUUUGUAUUGAAAAAAAUAUCCUCUAAGUAUGAUUUGAAGGACAAUUAAGUAAUAUAAGUUGAGAAUAAUUAAGUUCAUACAUAAUCAUAUAUAAUUAAAGGAAAAUAUGUCAAGUUUAAAUAUGAUAAUUUAAUGUGCAGGGCAAAACAUUUUUUUUUACCUACACGACCUUUCAUAUGUUUUGUGUACUGACCUUUUAUAUGGAAAAAUCAUGGUAAUUUAUACGAAAAGUUUCAUAACUGAAAAUGGAGCAUUCAAGUAUUUCAAUGUGUUUUUUUUUUCUUUUUUUUUUUGCACUUAUUAGCCGAUCUGAUGUCAAGAACGAGGAUGGGUAAUCCAUCGGUUACAAAUGGGAUAAUAACAGUUUUGGUCAUCUAAGUUUGCACGUUUUUUCACUUUUGGUCCCCUAUUUAUUACCGUCAACAAAAUACACUCUAAUGUUGUCAAAUGAUAACACAUUGGUGGUUCCCAUGGCAUGUUUGAUCGUCAAGAAGCAACAGUCAACGACUGAAUUAUGGCUGAACUUGGGGAAUUUAUUUUAGGAAAUUGCAAAAGACCUCUGUAUUAUUUUUAAAACUUUCUAAAAACACCUAAACUUUCAUUCAACCUCAGUUUCAACAAUUAACCGAUUUUAACCAAGUCCCUACGUCUGUUUGGCAGUCAAGAAGCAAGGUCAAUGGUUCAAUUAGAGCUGAAAUUUGGGAUUUUUGUGUGAGGAAAUUGCAAUAAGACCCCUAAAUUGUUUCAAAACGUUCUAAAACCGCCUAAAAUUUCAUGCAACCCUAAUUUAACCACAAUUUGACCAAUUAACCGAUUUUAACCAAUGACCCAAUUUUUUACAACCGUUGAUUAUUUUAUUUUAGUUCAUGUUGAACUUUUUUUCCAAUGUUGACUUUUUCUUUCAAUUGAUUUUCUUUUUUGCCGUCAUUGACCGAUGAUAAAUGUCAUGUUAAUUGCGUUGACUUUUUUUUGUUUUUUAUUUAAAUUGCUAAGUAGCGGAAAAAAUAUAAUAUAAAAUAAAGUCAAACCAACAACCGACGGGAUAAAUAAUAUCAUAAAAAAAUCAAAAUAAAAGAAAAAAGAAAAAAAAUCAACGCCAUCAAUGAUGGGAACAAAUUUAAGAAGAUAAAAAAUAUAUAUCAACAACCGGUGUUGUACCAAAAAACAAUUGUACUAGAGUGGUUUUCUCCUUUCCAAAUUAUUCCACACAUGCGUAAUUCAUCUUCUUCAUAUUUUUUUAGGAAGAAAUUUGGGGUGCAAAAGCGGUUCCACGAAGAAAAAAUGGAGAGGAAGAAAUUAGGGAUAUUUAAGAAUUUUUUAAAUUAUAUUUUGGUCCAAAAAUUUUAGAUUAAAACUUUUUUAGAAGUUUGAAAUUAAUAUUACGAUGCUAGAUAUUAGUAUAGUAGUAUUAUUGGGUUAUAUAGUAAUAAUACUGUGUUGAUCGGGAAAAAAAAUCAAUCAAAAAAAGAAAAAAAUCAAGAAAAAGAAAUGUCAACGUUGUUAAUCGGCAAUCCAAUGUCGGUGAAUGGCAGUAAAAAAAAUAUUAAAAAAAAUUAAAUGUCAACGCCGAGAAAAAGGUUAAAAAAAACAAAAAUCAAAGGCGGUCAACAGUGACGGUGGUAAAAAUCCGUGUCAUUGGUCAAAAUUGGUUAAUUCAUGAAAUUAGGUUUUGAUUAUGGUUCGAUAAAAUUUUAGGGGUUUUUAGAAUAUUUUGAAAUAAUACAUGGGUCCUAUUGAAAUUUUCUCAAAGAAAAAUCCCAAAGUCGGCCAUAAUUCAACCUUUGACCGUUACUUCUUGAGGGUCAAACAGACGGAUGGACACAAUGUACUACAAUGUGACAACAUUAGUGCAUUUUGUUGAAGGCGGUAAAUGAGGGACCAAAGGUAAAAAAUGUACAGACUUGGGGGAAUUACAAACAUGUUAAAAGUUUGCUAGCCGUUUUUUCUUUAUAUGGUGUAAUUUCAAUGCAAUCUUUUUUUUAGGAAAAACAAAAUUAAUGAAAAUAACCGUAACUAAUUAGUAGUAUAUAGAAAAAAACAUAUUGUAAUUUUCGUUCAUGUAUUUAUUUAUGCUCGUAAGUUGUAGUAAAUUAUUUUUAAAUUAAAAUUCCAUAACAUAUGAGAUUUAGUUGUUUGAUUGAUUAUUAAAAAUAUACUACUUAAUUUUGUGUAUCGGUUAUGAAUAGAAAUAUUUGUAAAAUGUUAUGAUUUUGAUUAGUUAAGUGAAAAGAUAAAUUGUUGAACCCAUAUAUAACACAUUUAAUACUCCACUUUGCCCAUGCGAGAAUUGCAGCAAAAAUGUGCAUAAACCAUGGCAUAAAUGUACAUUUAGUUAAUAAAUACUAGCCCAGAAAAAUCUUCCAAGAGUAAAAUUCGGUAUUAUACAAUCGCCUAGAUCAAUAUUAAUUUCAUCACUUUUCAAUUAUAUAAUUCAUAUUUUUCUUCUUUUAAUCAUUGUGUUUUUAUACAUUUCGGUUCGGUUCGGUUCGAUUUUGGUUUCGAUUUCGAUUUAAGGGUUUAGGGUUUAGGUUUUCAGUUUUGAUUUGUAUUUUCGGUUUCGAUUUUGUCCGGUUUUGGAAUCAAAUGAUUUAUUCAUUUUCAAUUGGCUUAAUUUCAUAAUCUACUUGAGGUGGCCCAAUACUGGUGUUGGCCCACACAUUCACUAAAGCUCAGUUCUUGAAGAAGCUUAUGGACUUCCAUUUUUACUGUCCAUAUUGGGUAGUCAAUCUUGUCCGUCCAUCAUGCCCCUUAAAUAAUUUACCCUAUACAUAAUUGGACUUCAGCUGCUAUGUACUUCUUCUCCCUGUACUAUCUAUUCUUCUGUUUUCUCUCUUCUUGUCUUCUUCAGGCGAUUUUCGUGUCAAAUGCCACCAACUAUGGCAGACUUUGACACUAAGACGGUUCAUCGGCCGAUGAGUGUUGUAUCUCAGAGUAUAAAUGUUUGCUGUAGACAUGGAGAGAGAGGGUAACAUACAAAUUUUGAGUGUUUCUAGGAGAUUUUUUUUUUGAGUUUUGGGCUGGUCAGUCAUAUCUAGACUUCUGGGUUGGUUUGAGGGUUUUAACACUUUAUGAGUUGAGUGUGUUGAAUUGAGUUUCAAGUUGAGUGCUUGACACCUAUUGGAGUCACUAUCAACUGAAUUUAAAGACGUGGAUUGGAUAAUUGUGGACUGAGCUUUUGAUACAACUCCAUCUCUAGGAGUUAUUAUUGUUUGGAACGAGAGUACCCAACAUGUUUUGGUUUCAGUUUUCGUUCGAUUCAGUUUCAAACUUUGGCUAUGGUCGAAAAAUGAAGGGUAAAGAAAUUCAUUAUUAACAAAACACAAAUACAAAUAACUGUUAAUUGAUCAGAAAAUAAAGUAAGAAUAUGUUUAAGUAUGUCAUUAUUAAAUAAAACUAGAUUACAUGUACAUUGUAUUAACAAAAAUUUACAAUUUAACAAGAUAUUUAUACAUUUCAUAAAGUUAAUGAUAUUAUUUUGGUAAAAUAGAGUAAGCACGACACAUAACUAAGAAAUACAUAGAAAAAUUCAUACGACACGUGCAACGCCUGUGCACCUGCCUUGUUGUAAUCUAAAAGUAAAGAAAAUUUAUACUUACAUAAGAAUAUUUGACUCCAAAUACACAUUGAAUGUCCUUGCUCCUCUAAUAUCGAAUAGUUGAGCCAUUGGGAUCACUAAGACCUUUUGGCUUUCAAUUGUUGGGCUCGUUGGUGCAAGUUAGAAAAUGAAUAUAAAUGGCUACUCCUCUCCUUUUGAUCUAACAUUCUUGACUAAGAGGUGCACUGAAGAGAUUUUCUAAAUUCUUUUCUUCAAUUGAGGUGUUUUUGCCGACAAUUGAAAAUUUGUCUUUUUUUAAACAUUUGUUUCACCUCUAAGGACUUAUUACCCUACUCAAUUCUCAAGAGUUCAAAAGUCUCCACUUUUACUCUUGAUGUAUGGUUCAAGUUUUAUUUGAAUAUUUUCUCAUGUCCUCUUUUUCCCUUCUAUUUCCAAUCUGCUUCUUCUUCUUCUUCUUCUUCUUUUUUUUUUUUUUGAAGAAGAACUUCACCAAUUUUGCAACCAAUUUCCAAUGGAUAAUUUAUCAAGAAACCUCCAUCUAAUCUACCCACUUUACUUUGGCUAAAAGAAAGAACACCGUUUCUCUAAAGUUCAAUCAAGGUUCUAGUAAAAAAAAUGAUAAAAGGUAGGUUUUAAAGGCUCAAACGGUUCAAAGAAAUCCCAAAUCACAUCCCAAAUCACUCAAUGACUCAAUACUUCACUUAAUGAUAUAUCAUAAAUUACUCCAAGUUUAAGACACAAAAUUUUCAACAAAAACAACACAUAAAUCAAGAUUCCUAGCAAUGACUUACUCCUAACUAGUUUGAAUCAAAAGCUCACCAACAUUCAGUCAAUCAAGACAAAGCAAGUAGUUUCAUCAUCAAAUAUUGGCCAUCGUUCAUCAUCACAAUUCAUUGAUGCAUUCGACUCAAGCAAUUUUUUUUUCCUAAAGAUAAUAAAAAAAAUCCUAAAGCAUGCAAACUAAAACACAAAUAAAGCACAUAAAAAUAAUUUUCCAACGCCAAACUUAAAUUUUUCAUUGCCUCAAUGAAAUUAGCAUGAAGUUCAACGAAAGAAACACCUUAUUAGUGUUGGGCGCCACCUUCCUCCUCAUCAUCAUAAAGCUCGGGUACGGGCUCUAGUAUCGGUCACGCACCACUUUUGAAGUGUUUCCACUGUAGUUACUUUGUGCUCCAUGGUAGCCAACCGAUAUCUCGUAAUAACCGCCUCGCGCUCCAUUCUCCUCUGAAAUCGUCGAUCUGAGGUCAAGCUUGAUCCCUCAUUCACGUUCCUCGUUUCGUGUUGAGGAGCGGCUUCAAAUGCGCCUAAGGCUUGUUACCCCUCUUGAAUGGGCAGUUUAAAUUGGUGGGCCGCUCUAUCAUUAAUGGGAUCUCAAAUCUGGGUCUCGAUGUCUGCCGGAUUUGUCUGACACCUUGGCUUUUCUUGCAUAAACCGGUCACCAAACAAGGGUAGAUGACCUUAGAGUUGUCGGACAUAGAAAUGACAUGUUGAUCGGCCAUGAUCGCGCCAAUAUUUAAAGGCUACCCCUUCGUGAUGUAGUAUGCGAGAUCGCAUAUUUCAUGAUUUACUCGAGUGAAUGAUGUAGUGGGAAUAAAAUUUGCGCAGAUGAAGGUAAACCAUGUUUUUCCUUCUUGGUUGAUGCUCUUCCAAUUUAGCUCGUACGCAUUUUUGUCCGGGUGCUUGAACCACAUGAGGCGCCCAUCACAUACCACCUCCCCAAUUUGGUCUCGUGUGACUUUGUGGAGCAUCGAAUUCCAUUUGGCUCUCUCGCCGCAAAGUUUGUAGCAACGGUUGAUGUCGGUUGGUUCCCAAUUAACACGAAGUUCAUGGACAGCGCUCGAACAAUGAGGGCGACUCUUUUUCGACAUGGUUGUUGGCGUAGAAUUCUCUUACUAUAGAGGAGUUAAUGAUGCCGAUGGGUGCGCAGAGUGUUUGCCAUCCUCGGUUGAUAAUAUCUUGAUUCAAAUUAGUGAAUUGAGGCAAUGUGAUGUCGAGACCCCUCUCUGUAAUUCGUCUUAAAUUUUUGCUUUUCAAAUACGUAUUUGAAUCCUUGGACACAAAAGGCAUCUUCUCAAAUACGUCUUUGCAUGUGAUUGGAAGAUGAUUCGUAGAGGAUUUGGAUUGAAGUUCACCCCCAAAAAUUGUUUGACGACAUUGUUGUUGAUAGUGAUUGGAAGAUGAUUCGUAGAGGAUUUGGAUUGAAGUUCACCCCCAAAAAUUGUUUGUACAAUUCGUAGAACACUUGGUGUACGCCUUUUGAAUAACUAGGUGUUGGUGAUUUUUGUAUCCUCUUUUAAGACAAUCUGUCAAUUUUUAAGUUCAAACCUCAAUUUCAUUGUUUGGAAGAGUGAUUUUUGUGCGAGUUGUGUGAAUUGCAAAAGAAACUGACACAAGAGAGGAAAGAGGUGUUUUUGCUCGAGCAAGGGUUUGAGAAAAAAAUGAGUAGAGUUGUGUAGGACAAUUUGCGUUCUGCCCCCUUUAACACACUGAAAAUUUUUUCGGACGACCGUCUCUCGUUUGGAUCUAAAAACUCCGAAGACUGUCUCGAUAUAAGGAAGGGCACUGUAUGAAUUUUAAAACUCGGACGAUCGUCUGAGUUUUUGCACUAAAUAUUAGGGCGGUCGUCCCGUUUAACAAUACAAAACAAUCAGAUUAUUUCUGAAAGUCGUACGGAUUUCAAGCUUUAAUUUCGGACAACCGUCUUGAACCUUGAAUUACAUUUUCGAGCUGAAAAUUAAAACAAGAAUAAAUUGUUAGAAUGCAUGCUUAUAAAAUCUGAAGAUAAAUAAAAAUAAAUAAAAAUACAAAAAACAAUAAAAACUAGGGCUCCCUCCCAAGAAGAGCUAAGUUUAUAGUCUUCAGCCGAACUUUGCUUCUUUUUCUUCAAACUAAAGUGACCAAAACCAAUUGGCGUUCUUCGCUAUCUCCCCAAUAAUGUUUCAACCGAUUCCCGUCCACUUUGAAUACUCGAUUAGAGUCUCGAUCCUUUACCUCAAUCGCUCCAUUUGGAAAAACUUCUUGAACAAUCAACGGCCCCGACCACCUAGAUUUGAGUUUUUCUGGGAACAACCACAAACGUUAAUUAAAUAAUAACACUAAUUUGUGAAAUUGGUGUAGCAAGAUAUUGUUAUUAUGCCACCCUUUGAAUUUGUCUUUGUAAUGACAAUUAUUCUCGUGUGCAUGCUCCCUUAUCUCGUCCAACUCGUUGAGUUGUAACAUGUGUUUUUCCUUGCAUUCCUUGUAGUAAAAGUUCAAUUUAUUUAGUACCCAAUACGAACAAUGCUCCAACUCAAAUGUCAAAUGGCACGCUUUUCCAAACACCACACGAUAUGGUGUCAUUCUCAAUCGAGUUUUGAUUGUCGUUCGAUAUGCCCACAGCGCAUCAUCCAAUUUCUUUGACCAAUCUUUCCUCGUUGGGACAACCACCUUCUCUAAGAUAUUCUUGAUAUCUCAAUAUGUAACCUCGACUUGCCCAUGCAUUUGUAGAUGAUGUGCUAAUGCCAUCUUAGGCUUUACUCCGUAGAUUCUAAAAACUUGAUACGCAUAAAACCUACUUAUAAAUUACCGCAAGUGUACAGUAUCGCGUUUUGUAGAAUAGUGAAUUCCAGAUAUCGAUCCACAAGGAAUUAAGUUCCUAAAUUUACCAAGUACCGUAAUUAUACUAUCCUAAACUUUAUCUAGACGAACGAGAAUGGAUGGGAGAAAUAAAACUAAAAAUAAACAAAAAUAAAAACAACGACCCGCCAGUAUAAGCGAGGAAUUCCGACGUGUGAUGGCUUCUAGGGUAAAAUCCACCUGUGUACUAUCAAUAAAGAUCAACAAAUCCGAAUCUAAUGUCAAUUCCAUGUUCUCUAACACAUAAACUAAAAUACCCUAACCCCUGUCUCCAGUGUAGUUAAAGUCUACCUACAGGUCCGACGUCUCCGUUCAGAACCUGAUAUUAAGAGAGCAUUUAGGUCAAGUCCUUAAGGGCUACCCGAGGUGCAUCACGUCUCCAUUUCCACAACCCGAGCUAUGUUUUCCUAAAAUGAAACAAGAAAUCCUCUCUCGAGUUCAUUCCCAUUUACGAUCAAUUCAACUGUUGGCCAAUUAAUCGAAAGCAUUUAAUACAGGAAAACAUAAACAGAAUCAAAGAACGACCAAUAGAUCACAGAUCUGGAAAUCAAAUCAAUAUAUACAAGGUUUCAUUUCCCCUAAAAGAAAAUGCUCAGUUCAUUACAAACAUAGCAUUCAAAUGAAGAACACGAGAAAUCAUAAACUAAACGUAGAGAAAAAGCUUAUGAAAAACCCGAGUCAAAACCCUUGUCGCAGCUUCCCGCGAAGAACUGGCGAGAACCGAAGAGAAAACCGAAGAAGAAGGUCGAGAUAUGGUCGAGAGUUUAAUCAAGAUAUUGUCGAGAUUUCGAAAAAUGAAAAGGAGACCUUCUAUUUAUAGUGUGAAACCAAAGAAAAAUAUCUAGUCUCGAUUUCUGUGCCCAGAUCGCGAUCUGGGCUUCUUGGAUCGCGAUCAGGCAACCUCGAAAACUGCGCACCGCCUUCCCAGAUCGCGAUCCAGGAAGUGCGGAUCGCGAUCUGCCCCAACUUUUUGCUGCUACUGGAAUUUGCCACCAGAUCGCGAUCCGGUGAUUCUGGAUCGCGAUCUGGCCUCUGCAUCAACUUCAAACACUUUUUUCACCCUUUUUCGACAAUUGUGCAUUUCACAAAAGUUGUAGCCCUUUCAGUUAGCUUUCGAAAUCCACUUGAAUCAGCCCAAUCGGAUGUCGCUUGCAAAAGUUAUGCUGGAAAUACCAAACACUGCCACAAUCCGCGAGAAUGCACUUUUGCACGUGUUUGGUUUGAUUCUCGGCUUCGCUUCCAAAGUCGUUUCGAAUCGGCAAAAAUAGCUUAUCUUUACCUAAAAUAUAAAUAAAACAAAAACAACAUAAUAUAUACAAAUAUAGGCUAAAACUCGGACGAACGAAGACCAAAACUCGAAGAAUUGAUAAGUGAAAACCAUGCAAAAUGAACACUUAUCAAUUCCCAUCAAGUUUUCGAAUUUCUUAUUGACAAAAUGCGAACCUCCAUCGCUAAUAACUGCCCGUGGUGCUCCAAAUCUAGUGAAUAUUUGUUUUUUUCUUGAAAUCACACACUAUAGAUGAAUCAUUAGUAGGUCUGGCAACCCAUUCCAACCACUUAGUAACGUAACCGACGGCCACUAAUAUGUAUUGAUUUUUGAGAGAAGGGACAAAAGGUCCAAUAAAAUCAAUCCCCCACAUAUCAAAAGGCUCAAUUUCGAUCAUCUUGUUCAAUGAGAGUUCGUGGCAUGUCGAAAUAUUGCCCGUUCAUUAGCACAUACUACAAGUAAUAGGGAAGUUAUAAGAAUCUUUAAAAAAAGUGGGCUGGUAAAAACCUGAUUGGAGAACCUUUCGUGCCAUCCUUUCUCCAUCAUACUGCCCCGCAUAAUCUGAUCCACGAUAGUGAAAUAGUAUAUAACUUUGCUCGCUCUCCGGAACAUACCUCCUCACCAAACAAUCAUUGAAUUGUCUAAACAAAAGCGAUUUUCCCAAAAAUAAAAUUUUACCCAUGCAAAAAUUUUCUCCAUUGAUGAUAAUUAAGAUCAAAUGGAAGUACUUGGAUAACUAAAUAAUUUCGCAUAAUCUGCAAACCAGUGUACUUCUAUAUCAAAUUAUUGCAACAUUAGAAUUCAUCUAAUAAGCCUAGGGUUCACAUCUUUUUUCGCAAACAAAUAUGUAAGAGCAGAAUGAUCCGUAAAUACAAUAACCUUAGUACCUAAAAGAUAUGGCCUAAACUUUUCAAAGACAAAGACUGUUAUAGUAGGUGACCAACAAGCCAACCUGUGGCUGUGGUCUUUCGUAUUUAUUAUUGUAAUAAACGAACCUUUAUUCGUAUUAAUGAUAAAACACAUUGGCAUUCUAUAUCUUUGUCCCUUUGUCACAAGCAUAGAUAUAGUCCUUACAGUUAUUACAAGUACUAGUAAUUGAUCGUUAGGAUCGUGAGAUAUUUACUUAAGUAUUAUAACUGUUAAACAUGUUCCUAGUCGAAGGGUUACGCCACUAAUGAGGAUAUCGGCCUUUCCCAUUAAGACUAGCACUUAGUGUAUGUGUACUGCAUCUCAUCAGUAAACGGUAUUGUGAUAUCGGCAUGCAUAAGUGGGUGCUCGUAAGUUGACGAGUUCACUGAACUCCCUCACCCUAGAAAUCUCUAAGUGGUUCCCAAUAAUCGAGUAGAGAUAUCUAUGGUAUAGUUGUACACCAUUAGUCCUUAUGACCUAGACAUCACCGUGACUUCACUAGAGGACCAGCUGUAUCGUGACCUGUCCCUGAGUUCCACCGAGGACCAUCCCAAGGGCCAGUGUUCGUGCAGUCCGAAAUCUAGUGGGAGGUCUGUGCAUUGUAGUCGGGGAUUCGAUCGCUAGAAUAGUCUUGGAUGUCCUGUGUGUUAUGAAAGUUUGUAAUCAUUCUAAGUCUCUGGCCAGAGCUGACUGAAGUGAUGAUUAGAGAAUUCGAUUCUCUAAGUCAUGCACGUAAGGAUUACAACACUUAGAACGAUCGCACCGUCAUUGAACAUAUAAAGAGGUCUCGAUGAACCAAUGCCUCUAGUUCAAUCGGGACAUAUGAAUCGAAGGGACCGUACUGUACGUUAACUAUAUCUGAAGGUUCUUGCAGGCACUUCAUUUGUAUCUAGGGAAUCAUGACGCGUAGUUGCUAGACGCCAAUCUUGAUUCGUUGGGUGAUUAAGGUGAAACGAGUUUCAUCUUAAUCGUAACUCUAAGGGGACGAGUUUUGACCACAAAGGGUUGUGGGCCCACGGCUAGCUUACACCUGAACCAUCGAGGGUCACACUGCUCGUGCACAUGAGAUCUUUGAAUAAACGGUCAGAGAUAAAAUGGUUUAUCUUUGCAUGAUUGGAAGUCAAUAUGAUUGGGUCCAACAUUCGUAAUUUGGAAUUAUGAAUGAGAAUAAGAAAAGGAAAAGAAUAGACAAAUAUAUUAGUGGACUUUCUAAAUCGGGAAGUUUCCAAAUUUAGAAAGUGCACUGAAUUAGGGUUUCCACUUUUGGAAAGUUGGAAAUCGAGAGUUGGCACUCGUAAUGACGAGGACAUUAUAAUGAUUACGAAAAUGUAAUCGUUACGAUUUUCCGAUCAUUGAAUUGAGAGAGACGAGCAAGUAAAGGAACUAACGAGCUUAAGCUGUUGGGCCCGGUCCAACUUAAGCCCGUUAGGGUUUUAUGCAAGGGACUAUAAAUACAUGAUUUAUAGGCCUUGCACAACACACAACAAACCCUAACCCUAGCGGCCGUCCACCUCUCUCUCUCGGCCACUCUCCCCGCGGCCACCACAGCGCCGUCGCCGCUCCUCCGUCGCCGGAAUCGGCCAUCUAUUGGCCGAUCCCUUUCGGUACUCUUUUCUUCUUUCUUUUUCUUCCGUUAAUUCUAACUACUUCGUGUCUAGUGCCACGUUUUAGUAGAUCGAAGUAUACGAGGUGAAAUCCGAGAGGAGGAAGACUGAAGAAUCGAAGAACAGCCAUCAAGCCGACGACGCACGCGACCCACGCGCCGCCCCGAAGUCCGCGCGUGAGAUACACGCGCCGCCGCGCCGAUCUGCCGCUGCUGCCGCUGCAUUGCUGCUGCCCCGAUUGUACGGAUUGGUUUCCGUAGCAAUCUCGACUUGCUAAACGCUCCUACCUCACGCUUCAAGAGGUAAAUACACGAAACCCUAGUUUCGGUUCGUUUAGGUUUAAUCUAUGAAUUCAUGUUUGCUAUCAUGUGAUUUUAUGUGAUUAUGUGUAAUCGUUUUAAUCGUUGCAAGCAUGUUAUUUGGUUUAAACGCGAGCAUGUUAAUUGAUUUAAAAUUCGGUUAAAUUAUUUAACAUGUAUGUUGUUUUAAUUUCGCUGGAAGCGCAAAGGUACGCAAUUAAUUGAUUUAAUUUAUCGGGCGUGUGCUUAUGUGCUUUAAAGUCGUUUAAAUCGCAUAAAAUUUUUGUUUUCCGCUGCGUACACGUGCCCGAAACCCAACAAAGACAACCGCUAACAACUCUUUUUUUGUAGUUGUAUAAUCCAGUUGAGCAUCCUUAAGAGGUUUGCUAGCAGAAUAAAUGGAACGUAAAAAAAUAUCUUUCAUUUGCCCUAAAGCGGCUCCAACCGCAAAAUCACUAGCGUGACACAUAAGCUCAAAAGGUUUAUCCCGAACCGGCACACAAAUAAUAGGAGCAUAUACUAACCUUUUCUUGAGCUCAUUGAAAGCUUGGAGACAAUCACCGUCAAAAUUGAUUUUUUUUCCUUAUCGAGUAAGUUGCACAAUGGAUUGGCGAUCAUGGAGACUUAAUGAAACGCUAGUAAAAUCACGUAUGCGUUAGAAAUAUCUAAUUUCUUUUACCAAAAUUGAUGGCGGAAGUUGUUCAAUUGUUGCGAUAUUUGCUCUAUCAACUUCUAAACCUUCUCGUGACACUUUAUACCCAAGCACAAUUCCUUCUUGUACCAUGAAGUGGCACUUCUCCCAUUUAGCACUAAGUUUGUUUCCUCACCCCUACGCGGAACCUUAGCUAGCAUGCAAGGACAUGUGUCAAAUGUAUCAUCGAAUAUAGAAAAAUCAUCCAUGAACACUUCUAAGCCGUUGUCCACCAUAUCGGUGAAAAUAGCCAUCAUGUAUUUUUUAAAAGUAGCAGGUGCAUUAGAUAAACCAAAGGUCAUGCAUCUAAAUGCAAAGGUUCCAUAAGGACACAUGAAUGUGGCUUUGUGUAGAUCAUCCGGUCCUAUGGAACUUUGAUUGUACCCCGAGUACCCAUCUAAAAAGCAAUAAAACUCCUUACUCGUCAACCUAUCGAACAUUUGAUCCAUAAAGGGUAAAGAAAGUGCACUUUUCUAGUGACCUUAUUUAAUUUCUUAUAAUACAUACAAAUUCACCACCUCGUUGUGGUUCUAGAAUGAAUUAAUUCAUUAUGUGCAUUACGAAUGACCGGCAUACCUUAUUUCGUAGGAACACAUUGAACCGGACUUACCCAUGCACUAUACAAAAUAUGAUACAUAAUACCUGCAUCGAAUCACUUGAGAUUUUAUUUCUUUACAACCUCCUUCAUGAUGGGGUUUAGGCUUCUUUGUUGCUCCACUAAUGGCUUGUGUUCGUCCUCCAGGAUGAUCUUGUGCAUGCAAACGAAAGGCCUUAUUCCCUUGCUUAUUGUCACGGCCCACCAUUUUUGGCCCAACCCUUUUCCAGUUUCCAUUGGGUUAGAGAGGUUAGGUCCAAUAAAAGAGUCCAAGACUUAGCCCAUGAAAUUUAGGCCCAAUUUAACCAAAUGUAAAUAGGCCUAUUAGAGAUUCUUUGAGGAUUCUAAAAUAGUUUCUAGAACCCUCCCUUUGUAGAAAUUUUGUAGGAAUUCUUUGGAGUGUUCUAGUGAAAUAAUCCUAGCCCUUUGAUCAAAUAGAUCCCCACCAUCUAUUGAGGAGGUGGCCUAGUGUAAAUAGGAGUAGCGACUUAAUUUGUAACCAUCCAAGCAAAUCCAAAAAAUUCUAAGCAUUAAGCAAUAUAAGUACUUUCCUACAAAGUUCUCUUGUCUUUUUAAGUUCUUUGUUCGUUUUCCAUCACUUAGCAUGCGCAACACAUUCGGGGGUUCUCCAUCACGUAGCAUUCGCAACACAUUCGGGAGAGGCUGACUUAGCUAUCGUGAGGGCCAAGAAGGAGCUAAGGCCGCACGGUUCGUUGUUAAGGGAACAAGUCCAUGACAUUGUACUCACGAAGCACCUCCAAGAGCCUUUGUUCCUGCAAUUUUGAGAGAGAUUCAUAAAUAAUUACCGUUAAAGACUCAUUCAUACCAAGAUCCGCAUAUUUCAAGUGCGGUGGCAAUUCUUUCAACUCGAGCUUUGAUGACUCCUCCAACGAUGUUCAGAAUGCAUUGGGUCUGGUAAGCGCAAUAAUAUCUAAACUCUCAAACCUUGACUUUCGAAGAGCUCCAGCCGAGUCGAACCAACAUAUUCUUCUACUCUCUUGCCUCCACAACUAUCUCAUGCAACAAAAGAUGCUUCCAAAGAACCCAAGAUUAAAUAAUCAAAAUUUCAAGAGAUGAUGAAUCCAAUACAUCAAUGAAAAUCGUUGGAAUCACGUAGACGCUUAAUUGCAUUAAAAAUAUUGAAUUUUAUCGUUUGAUCAUGCACAGUCAUAAUAAGAUCUCCACUAGCGCAAUAAAUGAUAGUCAUAGUAGUAGCUAAAAACGGUUCCCAAAUUCCCAAAAUAAUAGGUAUCUCCAUAUCCUUAUCUGAUCCAUAUCAAGAAUAAGAAAGUCAGCAGGAUGAAUAAAUUCAUUGACUUGUACGAGCACAUCCUCUAAAAUACCUUUUGGGUAAACCAGUGAUCUAUCGACUAAUUGAAGAGUUAUAGCCGUUGGUUCAACUUCUCCUAACCCAAGACUCUUGUAAGUAGAAAAAGGCAUAAGAUUAAUUCUAGGUCUUAAAUCAAUAAGUGCUCUAAAAAAAUCUAUUAUUGUGCAAGGGAUAGUGAACUUACGUGGAUCGUUUAGUUUAUGUGGCAGUGGUCGGGUGAGACUUGCACUGCAUUGUUUCGGUGAGAGUGAUCAUCUCGUGUCCUUGCAAUUUUUGUUGUUUGGUAAUGAGGUCCUUGAUGAAUGUAACCCACUUUGGAAUAUGUUGAAGUAUUUCGACGAAAGGAAUAUUUAUGCGAAUUUCUUUAAAUUUGUCCACGAAACAUUGGUAUUCAACAGAGAGCUUUGUCUUUUAAAACCUUUGAGGGUAUGGAAUGGGUGGGGCCGGUGCGACUUGAGCUGUUGAAGGCAUUUUUUGAGCAUCUUUUUUGGUUUUUACAAUCCCAGAUUCAUCGGUUUCUUUGCUAACUGCCUCUUUUCUUGGGAUUUCCUCCAAUUGCCUUCCGUUCCUCAAACUGAUAGCUUGUCAAGAUUCAUUCUGUUGUUUUCGAGGAUCCUCCGUGUUUGAUGGCAAAGCUCAUGCAUGAUGAUUUCCUCGUUCCCUUGUUUGUGCCACUUGAUUCUCCAAAUUCUGGAAUGAAGCUUGGGUAGAUUUCAUGAAAUGAGCCAAUGUUUCCUCAAGGCUUAUCUUCGAAUUUUGGGCCGGUGGAUUAUUCCUUUGAUAGUGGUUUUGUGGAGGGUCUUGCUGUUGAUAUUGACCUUGAAGUCUUUGGUAUCCUUACCCUUGUUCAUUUUCUCCAUACUAGCCUUGUAGCCUCCAUCCUUGAUUUUGAGGUUGCCUAGGUGCAUUUGUUGACUGAUAAGUGUUCGUUUUGCACUUUUUUUACUUAUCGAAUCUUCUAGUUUUGGUCUUCGUUCGUCCGAGUGUUCGGCUUUAUUUGUACAUAUUAUGAGUUUCUUGUUUUAUUUCUAUUUUAGGUAAAAAAGAAACUAUUUUCGCAGAUUCGUAUCGAUUUUGGAAGCGAAGCCGAGAAUCAAACCAAACACGUGCAAAAGUGCAUUUUUGCGGGUUGUGGCAGUGUUUGAAAUUUCAAACAUUACUCGCUCAUACGACCUCCGAUUGAGCUGAUUCAAGUGGCUUUAAAAGCCAACUUCAAGGUCUACAACUUUUGUGAAAUGAAAAAGUGUCAAAUUUGGGCUUAAAAAAUGGUCAAAACAGGGUUUGAAGUUGACGCAGAGGCCUUAUCGCAAUCCACUCUUUCCGUAUCGCGAUUUGGGGUCACUUAAAGAAGGUUUUUCGAUCACGACCCAAAUCGCGAUCCAGCCUUGCUGUAUCGCGAUCUGGGGUCUCACAUAACAUUUUUUAUCAAGAUCCAGAUCGCGAUCCAAAAUUCCCGUAUCGCGAUCUGGCAAGGUGGUGCACAGUUUUCGAGGCAAGAUAUUUGUGUUUUGCAAGUCUUCUAUAAAUAGAACCAGCCUCGCUCUCCAUUUAUGGACUCUUGGACCUCUCCUUUGAGUUUUUCUUCGGUUUUAUCCCCGGUUUUCGCUAGUUCUUCGCGAGAAGCUUCGACGAGGGUUUCAACUCGGGGUUUUCAUAAGAUUCUUCUUUACGUUUAGUUUAUGAUUUCUUGUGUACUUCAUUUGAAUGCUUUGUUUGUAAUGAACUGAGCAUUUUAUUUUAGGGGAAAUGAAACCUUGUAUAUAUUGAUUUUGAUUUCCAGAUCUGUGAUCUAUUUGUCGUUCUUUGAUUAAGUUUAUGUUUUCCUAUAUUAAAUGCUUUCGAUCGUUUGGCCAACUGUUGAAUUGAUUGUAAAUGAGAAUGAAAUCGAGAGAGGAUUUCUCGUUUGAUUUUAGGAAAACAUAGCUCGGGUUGUGAAAACGGAGACGUGAUGCACCUCGGGUAGCCCUUAAGGACUUGCCCUAAAUUCUCUCUUAAUAUCAGGUUCUGAACGGAAACGUCGGACUUGUGGGUAGACUCUAACUAUACUGGAGACGGGGGCUAGGGUAUUUUAGAAUUGACUUUAGGUUCGGAUUUGUAGAUCUUUAUUGAUAGAGCAUUGGUGGAUUUUACCCUAGAAGCCAUCACACGUCGGAGUUCUUCACUUGUCCUGGAGGACCGUUGUUUUUAUUUAUUGUUUCUUUUUAGUUUCAUUUCUCCCAUCCAUUCUUGAUUGUCUAGAUAAAUUUUAGGAUAGGUUAAUUACGAUACUUGGUAAAGUUAGGAACUUAAUUCCCAGUGUAUCGAUUUGUGGAAUUCAUUAUUCUACAAAACGCGAUACUGUACACUUGCGGUUUUUCAUACGUAGGUUUUACGCGUAUCAUUGACGUAGUUGAGCGACUCCAUCUCUGAUUGGCAUUAAAUAGAAUAGUGAUUUCCCCCACAAUUUUUGCAAUAUGGCGAUCCAUCCGGCGCUUGCAUUGUGUGGACAUGUUGCGGUUUGCUCGCCUAAGUGAGGAGCUGGUUUUGUUGUGAAACUUGUGUCAAUUGAGCUUGAAGAGCUGUGAUUGCGUCUAGUUCUAAAAUUCAAUGAAUAUUUUUGGCUCCAUUGAUCGUCCUUUUGCCAGUCUUACUGAUCAUGUACUGUGCAAUCUGAUCCAACAAAAUAAAUGCAUCCAUAAUAGAUUGGCUCAUAAUAUUACCCCCUGAUUAUGCAUCUAGAACGGUUAUCGCAUUCUCAUUUAUUCCUUGAUAGAAGAUAUUUAUUCUAACAUUCUCUGAUGGUAAAUAGUAAAAUUGUGGGGAUUGAUGGACCCCCUUCAUUUUGAAAAUAUUUUGAACUAAACACCAAUGAUAUUACAUCUUGGUGCAUACCCCCUCAUUUUUUAUCUUAAUUUGGGAUACCCGCCUCGCCACUUUGAAGUACCUAAAAUGCUCUUUUAAUAUUAAUUGUAAAACAUCACGUUGUUUGCUUGCCUUUCAUGAUCGCUAUGAGUUCGUCUCUCUCUUCCUCUCUCACUCUCAGAUACAAAUUUCGCCCCCAUAAAUUUCCAACCGGCGAUGUUGCUUUACGGAGUCAUAACUCUAUCUUCAAUGGUCGGAAUUCGAAGCUUUUAACUACCGUUGGAUUCCCCUUGUCGAGCUCUUUCAUAUGGUGAUGAUUUCAUAAAGUUUAGAGCUCAAGAUUGGUUUUUGUAAUCUUUUUACAAUGGGCGCGUAUUUCAACGAUGGUGGGUCUUGCCGAAGGGGUAACCUGUGUUCCGGCAGUCGGACUUUGACAGGCUACCCACCGUUGGAUUCCUCUUGGUGAGAUAUAUAUAUUUUGAUGGUAAUUUCGUUCAAUUUUUAUUGUUUGAUUUGUUUCUAUGAUGUUUUUCAUUGUGAGCGUGGAACCUUGGGUAGUUGACGGUGGAUAGGAUUUUGGCAAGAGGAGCUUGUGGUGAGGAGUCAUUGGCGAUUUGAUUUAAAUUUGAGGAAUUUCGCAGCUGUGGCCUCUCUCUCGAUCUCAUAGUGUUUAUCAAUUUUUGAGUGUUUUGAUGUUUCCUCAAUUUUUAUUAAUUUGCACUAAAAUAAUUUUUUUGUUUUGAUUUUGCAAUUGCAGCUUAAUGGAAUCCAUUGAUCCUAUCCUUAAAGGUGUCAAAAAAUUUAGUUGAAGUUUUUGAUGAAUAUAACGAUUUUGACAUCUGCUUCAAGUUACAAUGUUUUACAGACUGUGCACAUUACUACACACAAGUAUAAAUUAGUAGUAACAUACAGCAACAUGUAGUAACAUAUGCAUGCAAUUGUGGAACGAUUUUUAUUUGUUGGUUAUGAGUUGAUUUAUAAUAUAAAUAUUUAAAUUAUGAUUUUUUGUUGUUGGUAUUUAUGAUUUUUUUUUAUAAGCAGUGAUAUUCUUGUGUGUACAUAAUUGGUCGACUAAAAAUUUGGGUUAAAAAGAAAGAACAUUACUACGAAUGCUAUAUAUUACUACAAUUACAUAUAGUCAUUUUCAUAUAGUCAUUUUCAGUUCAGUAAGCAUAUCGAUUAAAAAAAAUUAACGAUUUGAACCGACUUUUCUUUCGAUAGGAUUGAAGUGGAAUUUCCAAUUUAUUGCCUUUGAAAAAAGAUUUUUUGACGAUUUGAAGUGAAAUGUCUUUGCCUUCUUUUUCUUUAUUUCAAUUCCUUGAGCAUGCAGAGUGAUGACAACGGGGUUGGCUAGGCGGAUGAUGCUUGGGUAACUCUGCUAUUAUUACACAACCCUUCUUUGGUGCCUUAUUUUGAAAAUGAAACAAAGAAAUAACAUUUUUGUUAGGAUUUUUCUAGCCGUUUAUGUUUUUUCUGCCAAAACGCAUUACAAUUUUUUGGUAUCGAUGUUUUGCUUUUCUACAUUUAUUAAAGCUGAUUGUUGAAAUUUCAUGAUGAAUUAUAUUAAUCUAAUAAUGGAUUUUAUGAUAAUUUUGUAGUGGAUUACUUCAAUUCCGUAGUGUAUUAUGUUAAUAAUAUUCCUUAGUGGAUUUCGAUAAGUUUGUAAUGAAUUUUAAUAUGAUAAAUCAACUCGAUAAAAAAUCGAAAAAAUAAAAGAAAUUGAAAAUAAUAAAAAAAAACUAUUUCUAAUAAAAUCAAAAUUGAAAAAAACGAUUUAAAAAAAACAAAUUGUUUUAUGAAAAAAGAUCCAACAAUAAAAAUGAAACAAAAAAUUAAAAAUUAAAAAUUAAAAAAAUAAAGAAAGAAAAUAAAGACACUAGAGGUGAAUAGUGAGUAAUAGGGAAAUGGUAAAUAUGGACCUAUAAAAAAUUGAGGUGAUUACAAAUAAGUCUACACAUGGUCCAGAUUUUUGUAAAAGACUAAAAUAGCCCAUCACACUUCAAUAUGCUCCGAUUUCAUCAUUAAUUUAAUUUAACCUCAAUUUGACCCCAAAUUUCACAAAUUAUUCAAUUUUGACCCCAAAUUUUUUUUUUUUAAAAUUAUUUUUUUUUUCAAAAAUUAUUUUUUUUUUGCCGCCGGUCUCCGACGUUAACUUUUCGAUUUUUUUUUUCUUCCGGAUUUUUUUCGCCGGUUUACGGCGUUGACUUUUUCAUUUUUCCUUUCUUUAACAUUUUUUUUUUCGUUUAAACAUCAAUAUUGCUGUGAUUGACAGUAAUAUUAACUAUAUUACUGUUAAAUACAGUAAAAUUAACUAAACUACAGUUUAACACAACAAUAUUGCUAUAUUAAUCUCUAGCACAGUAAUAUUAACAUAAAAAAACUCAUUAUUAUUGUGUAAUAGAGUAAUAUUACUAUGUUGACCGCUCAACAAAUGUAAACAUAAUAAAAAGCCAAAAUAAUUAAUAUUACUGUGAGUGACAGUAAUAUUACUAUAACAGCAGUAAUAUUACCGUCAACCACAGUAAUAUUACAAUAAUAAAUAGUAAUAUUAUUACGUUACUCCGUGAAUAACUCAAACAAACAAAAAAAAAACCAAAUAAAAUAAUAAUAUUGAUGUGGUUGACAACAAUAUUACUAUAACAACAGUAAUAUUACCGUCAACCGCAGUAAUAUUAUUGUGUUACAGUAAUAUUACAAUAAUAGACAAACAAAACAAAAAACCCCCAAAAAUAAUAAUAUUGAUGUUGUUGACAAUAAUAUUAUUGUGUUUACAGUUAUUUUACUAUCAACUACAGUAAUAUAAUUACGUUGACUUGUCAACAAAUCAAAAAAAAUAAAAAAAAAAUAACAAAAAAAUAAAAAAUAAUAAUAUUACGUUAAUUUACUGUCAACGGCAGAAUAGUUACAUAAAUGUAUUGUCAACGGCAGUACAAUUACGUAAAUUAACUGUCAUUGACAGUAUAAUUACGUUAAUUUAAUGUCAGUGAUAGCACAAUUACGGUCAACGUUUAGUGGCGGACGUAAAAAAAAAAAAAAAAAAAAAAAAAAAAAAAAAAAAAAAGAAAGAAAACACUAAAAAUAGUCAACGCCGGAAUCCGACUGCGGAAAAUAACAGACCAGAGAAAAAAAAAGUCAACGCCGGAAAUCCGCGAAAAAAUCCGGAAGGGAAAAAAAAAAGAAUUCACAAAGUCAACGUCGGAAUCCGGCAUCAAAAAAAAUUUUGAUAAAAAAAAGUUUCCUUUAUUUAUAAUAAAUAUUAAAGGGAUGAGCUUAUUGGUGAAAGAGAUAUAGCCCCUAAACCUAGAAUAAUAAAGAUGAUUGGUUGGGGACUUAUGCACAAAACCCCUAAAAAAUGAGGGUAUUACCUAUUUUGGAAUUUAAGAAAAUAGACAUAUUCCUAUUUGCAAAAUUUAGGAGUUUUUUAUCAAAUAGCCCCUAUAAAUCUAAAACAUAGGGGGAGUAUCUUCAAUUCCAUGCAUAAAUUGCAUACUUAAAUUCAUAAUUUUUAAAAUAACUGGUUAGUACCACGUGCAAUGCACGUGAUUCUUAAUAUUGUAAUCAGUGAUUUACACUAUUUAAAAUUUAUUUGAUUGAAAUUACACAUUAAUCAUUGCUUUAUAAAUUUACGCAUAAGUCUCUGAUAUUUUCAUUAUUCUAGGUUCAGGGCUAUAUUUAUUUCGUCAAUAAACUCGUUCCUUUAAGGCAAAAUUAAUGUAUAUUACAAAAUUACACCCAACCCUUUAAACUCAAUUCCUGAUUGUAACCCCAAUUUAACUUCAAUUUCAUCAAUUUUGACCACAAAAAUUCAAUUUUGACUUUUCUUUGUUCGAGUUUUUUUAAACCGCCGGUUUCCGGCUUUGGUUUUUUUUGUUUUUUUGUCUGUUUUUUCCUCCGCCGGUCUCCGGUGUUGACUUUUUUUUUUCUGUUUCUAGUUUUUAAGCAAGCGGUUUCCGGAGUUGACUUUUUUUUUCACCAAAAAAUUUAAUCCAUUUUUUUACGCCUCCGCGGAACGUUGACAGUAAUUGUACUUUCGUGUACGGUAUAAUUAAUGCAAACAUAAUAAUAUUAUUACUUUUUCGGCUUUUUUUUGAGCAUAUUAAAAUAUGAGGGGAUAUUUUGGUAGUCUUUUACAGACCUAUGGACAUUGUCUGGGUUUUUUUUUUUUUUUAAUAUUUUUUUGUCUGAACCCCUUUAUGAAUACCUAGCCCAUGAUCGGCUUAUUUGUAAUAGACCCUUAUAAAUAAUUUAAAUUAUAUCUGAUUAAUUUUAUAUAAAAUAAGUUGGUAGUUAUUGUGUAAUAUGAAUGAUCAAAUAAAAUAUUGGAAUAAACUUCAGUAAAAUUUUAAAUGUUUACCCACUAAUAUAAUUUUUGUAUGGGUCCUUGUCCACGUUAAUAGUUAGGAUGAUUUUGUUUCUCUCAAACUCUUACGUGUAUAAUUGAAAAUUUCAAGACAUAAAUAAAUUAUUAAGUUGAAAUUAAAUUAUCCUUAAUUAACUCUAAAAAUAUAUUAUUUUGUAUUUUAUAUAUAAGGUUCUACCAAAAUGUAUAUUAAUAUAUAAUAAUUAAUAUAUAUUUCAAAUAAAAAAUAAAUUGUAUUUAAAAAAAAAUAGAUAAUUGGAAAAUAUCAAGUUUAGCAAAUUAAUUAGGUGAUCCUUGCUAAUUACUUUAAUAUUUAAUACACUAAGAUUCAACAGUUAUUAACUUAAUGAUAUGUGGAAUUUUAAUUCAUAAUUAAUAUCAUUAAACAUCAUUCAGUAACAUAUUUUAAUAACUUCUAAAAUCAUCAGACAUAUGACGAUAAAAAAAAUGUCAUAUACAUAUGUCUCAUAAAAUAAAUUAAAUGAAAAAGAAAAGUAAAAAAUGCAAUGUGGUUGGGGAUGGAUAUCAGAAUACGAUUUUAGAAUCCCCUGAUUCUGAUCCGAAAAUAUCCGAAUUUAGAAUCGUAUUUUAUCAUUCCGAUUUAUAAUUUUUUCAAUUCUGUUUUAGCAUGGAAUUGCAAUUGUAUAUAAAAUUAUCGAAAAUUUCAAUCUUCUAUCAGAUUUUAGCUAGGAAGAUUUUGAUUGUUUUGAAAUAUAUUAUAUAAUUUUAUUAUAUAUUUUUUUAAUUCCAUAAUUUAAUGUAUGUUAAUUUCAUAUGAAAAAUAUGAAUAAGGGCCAAAUAAACUAAAAAACAUAAAAAAUGAUUAAUUUGUAUCAUAACUAUCUGUUGCAUUUUUUCUUAUAACAUAAACUCUUAAUGCAUAUUGUUUUUUCUAUAUGUGGUUUUUAUUUGUUGCAAUUUGUUGAAUUCUUUUUCGGAUGUCCGUGCAUUUCGCUAUAAGAUUCCGAAAAAGAGUGAAAACAUUGUGAAAAUUCCCAUUAUGUCCGAAUUUGGAUCAAAAUAAAUUAAUGGAAUUUCUGAAGUUUCUGAAAUUCCGUCGAUUCAGAGGCAUUUCGAAAUCAGAAUGGUUUUUGAAUUGUGAUUUUUUGAAAAGGAAAUUGGAACCCGGUUUUAGCUUACGAAAAGAAAUGAUAUAAAAAAAAAGCCAUUUUGGAUCAAUUCCGUCCGAUUUCUACCCUUAAAUGCGGUUCACAAUUCACAUUUGAAGAAUUUAGCUAACAUUUUAAUCACUAUGUUCAUGUUCCAAUUUAACUUUGAUACUUUCCAUAUACAUUGAUUUUGUAGAUUUUUUUAAUAUCUUUAAAUUAAUUUACAAACAUUAUACAUGAUAACUUCAAAUUAUGGGACUUGUUAUUUUGGGAAGUCCUAAAUUGACCAAUAAAAAAAAAUUUGGUAAUGAAGUUGAUAUUUUAAAAACUAUCCAUCAACAUUAAAACGGUUUUAUGUGAGGAAAAUAAAUUAAAAUCGUCAACCCACCGAACUACCAAACAAUAACCUUUUAAACAUGAAAAAAAAAGUAACCAUUAAAAGUUUACGAUUACCCGCUUGUUGAGUACCCUAAUUAUGUGAGAGAGGUCUUUGAAAGGUCAGUACUCAUAUUUUACAUUUGACUAAAAAAUUAUAUGUUAAAAGAGAGAUAAAACAAAAUAUAGAGAGCCCAAUUGGGUUCUCGUGUAAGAUCUAAUUUACUUAGAACGUGAACUCUCGUCUUGAGAGCACAUUUAACAAACAAGUUCAAUAGUUUUAAAUAAUCAAUCAACAACCGCAUGUGAUGUCAGCUAACAAAGGGUGAUGAAGACUUUAUAUUGCAUUUAGUAAACCUCUGUUAUAUCGAAUUGAGAAAAGCUUCUUGUUUUAUAAAUAUAAGAAAUCAAAAUUCUUCUUAUGCGCUGUUUAGUACACAACCUCCUAAUUAAUAGUGUCUUUUAUAGGAUAGAUUGCCUAUAAAAUUGAAUUACGGAGGUUGUUUUAUAAUAUUUAUAACACGGAGAUUUGUUUAACAAUUCGAGUAAACACAUGGGUGCUAAAUGCAAUAAACCCCAAACAAUAUAAGAUAUAAGCUAAAUAUUCAAAAAAUAAGUAUCAUUUAUGAAAAUAUCAUCGUCUUAUCAUACUUUUUUCAUAAAAAAAUAUUAUAAAGACAUACUCAAUCAGAUCUAAUUUUAUUUCACGGGUUAUGAAAGUUUCAUAUAAUUUCUUUAUUAUUAAAUAUGUUUAUUUAGUUUACAUAUUUUGAUAAAAGAGAAGCUAUAAAUUUGUAUCAAUUAAAACAAUAAUAAGAAAAUAAAAAAAAUUUAGAGAUUUGAGAUGAAAUCAUGAAACUGAAUCAAAAUACUAAAAAUAUAUUACACAUUAUUAAAAAAAAAUCAUUUUCUAAUAAUUCAUAGCCUAGUCGAAUUUGAUUUCUCCAAUAAAUGAAAUACUAACUUCCCUACCUUUUAUAUUUUGUCUAUAUGUUAAAUAAAAGAAUAAAAAUUAAAAAAUAAAAUAAAAAUAGAGAGAGAGAGAGAGAGAGAGAGCAAUAAGCUGCCAAUAUAUUUAAUUUGAUAUAUUGAUUGUAAUAUAAAUAAAAAUUUUACCCAAACAAUCAUAAGUAAUACAUACAUAUAUAAUAACUUACUAAUAAGGGUAGAAUAGGUAUCAGAAAAAAGUUAAGAAACAAAAAAAUUAUGCUCUUAAAGGUAUCGGGAAAGGGCGAGAGAUUAAAAUUAAUACUUAAACGCAUUCUUUAUAAAUAUUUUUAUUUAAUCAUCAAUUAAAAAAUUCAUUUACUGUGCAUCGUACGAGUAGAGUGGAAUUAUUAGUAUCCAUAAUAUUUAAUAUACAAAAAAUAAUUUUAUUUUGGUGUAUACAGUAAAAUAAUAUUUCGAGCACCAAAUUAAUUAGUGCCUCGCUCAACUGUCAUUCUCCGGAUGUACUUAAUUAGUAUUAUAACUCCAUCCCUCUUGCAAGAUAUUUUUAUUUUGUGUCUGUAGAAUUAUUCUGAUUCCCCUCGAAGAGUUCAGUGAUUGCAUCUCCAUUUCCCAGGGAUCAUGUGUUUUCAAUUGUACUAUUUGUUUGAACAUGUUUUCCUUUUAAUUUUGUUUGUUCAUAAUAAAAUAAAUUGCAAUUUAAUAUUUAUAAUGAAUGAAGAGACGAUAUUCUUAAUUAAAUAUAAUAUGCAAUUAUUUUGUGGUAUGGCAUAUGUAACCAUCAACAAACUGGCAACCAGCAUGUGUGGCCAUUUGUAGUUUUCUAAAGACCCUUUAAAAAAGCACAAGGAUACAAGUUUCACAUGCACAACCACGUCAAGGAACGAUCGAUGUUUUUCUUUUCUUUCGCAUCUGUCCAAACAACAUCGAUUUCUCUUGUCAUUCGUACAAUGCAAAUUGCGUCUUAUACAUGUAUGUUUAAAUUUCAUGAAUAAAAUGACUCACAUUAGUAAUUAGCACAGUGAAUUAAGACUUGAUGAACUUCAACUUUGACAAAUGUCAUUCCAGAGGCAACUAUAACUAGUAUAGUCCUAGUCUUACAUAAGCAACUAAUGCUACGGAAAAUUAUAAUAUAUCGUUUCAAGUAAUUCAAUGCUUCUUCUGACGGUUUUUUUUAUAGUACCUUCAGUGAAAGAAAGAAGUUAAUCUCCAUAUCAAUAUCUUAUUUUAUAUCAUGUAUAUUUUGAAACAAAUUGUUCUCACACAAGAAAGAGAGGCAUUUGAAGAAUUUUGAAUUUAGGUAUUUGAAUUUGAAGAAAGAAAUUAAGGAACAAUAUAAACACAAAGAAUAAAGAGAAUUUUGGAUAAAGUACAAAUUACUGAUUGGAAACAAACAAAAUUAGAAAUUAACUGAUUAGAUUAGCAUUAUUUAAUCAUAAGAGCCCAAGAAAAUAAAUAAUAUCAUAAUUUUACAUUAAUGUAUUAUAAAGGGUAAAAAAAAUGCAUUAUGAAGUGUAAAAAAAAUAAUUGUUGUUCUCUAAAAAUUUCUUAAACAUUUGGGCCCCUAAAAAAUAUACCAAAAAUUGGAGUUUUAGGUGACCGCUUACUUCGCCUAUUCUCAAAAGCCGCCCUGCACCAAAAAUUGGGUUCUUAAGAAGCUCUAAUUUUCGGCUAUCACAAUAGAGUAGAAAAAUGAUUUGUUUCUUUUAUUAUUUCUUAGCACAACAUCUUCUAGAUACCUAUAAAUAAAGGGGCUAUUUGUCAAACACCCCUCAUUGAAUUUUGACUUCUUCAUAAAUCCAUUUUUUUUAAUUGAUAUUUGUUAUAAAUCCAAUUAACUCUAAUUAUCCAAAAUACCCCUAUUUACUAUUACUGAAAUUACUAUAUUAUAUUAUUGUGGAAAAAUCAAUCCAUUUUUUGUAGAUAUGCAAAUCCCCCUAUUAUCUCCUCUAUCUCACACCAUCCCCUAUUAUCUCUCCUAUCACAUAUCUCACAGUUAAUUUUAGAUUAUGUUUUUCCAUUUUUUUUUAUUUUUUAAUAGUUUUUUUUUUACAAUUUAAAACAAAAAUUGUUUUGUCUUUCUUCAGUGUUUUAAAUAGUUUAUAUUUAAAAAAAAAAAUUGAAAUCCACUACAUACUCAUCGAAAACCACUAAAUUUAUCGAAAAACACUAUAGAAUUAAAGCAAAAAUUUACUAUAAAAUAAGCAUAAUCCACAAUAAUAUUAACGUAAUCCAUUAUUAAAUUAGUGUAAACCACUGUUAAAUUAGUGUAAUUCACUAUAUGUUCAUCGAAAACCACUCUGUGUAUAACAGUUAUGUAACAUUGAAAACCACUAAUGUAUAACAGCUAUGUAAAUNNNNNNNNNNNNNNNNNNNNNNNNNNNNNNNNNNNNNNNNNNNNNNNNNNNNNNNNNNNNNNNNNNNNNNNNNNNNNNNNNNNNNNNNNNNNNNNNNNNNAUGAUUAUUUAAAAGCAGAAGUUAGUGAUUGUGAUUUAAGUUAGUUUUAAGUGCUUAUUUCUAAAAGUUGGGGGUGUUUGCAAAUAUUUCGGAAAAUGAACUAAAAUUGAAAAAGCAGGGUUAGGCGUGCUUUUAAAAAAUAGCUUAAAGCAGAUUAUUUUAAGAGAAGCAAAAGCAAAAGUUGAUUUUGCAAACACCUAAAAACAGAUUAUGAGCAAAAAAAACCGCAUAAUCACUUUCAAAAAGCAUUUGCAAACACCACCUUAAAAUGAUAAGACCCCAUCGGGUGCACAAAAUGUCAACAAAUAGAGAGAGAGUCGAUGUCAUUAAAACGGGUAAUUAAUUCCCUAAUUAUUACCAUCCCUUAAUUAGAAAAGAUUAUAUAUCUUUUAAUAUUAGAAUUAAAUAUACAAUUAGGGGUAUAAUGGUGAUAAUUAGGUGGUUUUAAUUAAUAAAAAAUAUUUUUGGAUUUAUCUUAAAAAUGUAAAAUAAAAUUGGACUCAUUGUAAUGAUACUUGUGUAAUUAGGGGGUUUUGUCAAAUUUUCCCAUAAAUAAAAGGUUUUGGUAAUAAAGAAAAAAUCACUUGUGUCUGCGACACUGCAACUCUUGAAAAUUUGAGAUAAAAGUCAUCAAAUAUUUUUUUUGUUCUUUUCUUCUGCUUAAUUAUGGAGUUAGUAUGUAGUUUUCUAGAUAUUAGUCCACCCAUAUGGUAAAAUAGAAUUUGAGGAUAUACAAUAGAUGAUCGAAGCUUUUGGAAGCAAAAUCAGAGGUGUUCGAAAUUCUCACGAGAUCAUUUCAAAAGUUCGUCGAGAAUGUAAAGUUAAAUCUUUCACGAUUUAGAUGGAAUUGGACUAACCAUUGGAUUGAAGAUUGUAGCACAAUAUUUAAGUAUCUCCCUUAAGUAGGGAUAAUUACACUUUUGGUCCCUAUACUUGCCACCUAAAAUAUUUUUGUCCUCAAAUAAUUGUCACCACUAAUAAUUUAGUCCUAAAACUUACCACUUUUUACAAUUUUAGUUGGCCGUCAAAUUUUCCAGUUUAGGUUGGAUGGAAUCAUCACGUGCGCCUCAUGUGACGUCCACUUGGCACCCUACAAAUGAAAUUGAACUAAACUCCUUCCACUUCAUCCUUACCUUUUUCUCUCCCCGUAAUAUUUAAUGCUUGAUUUCAGUUAGUAGGUUUGAAAUCUGAUCCCCUUUUCUAAUUUCCCAAACAUUAAAUAUGUUAUUUCCUCCACCACCGUCCGCCGCCUUCCACCACCUCUCCACCACCCUCCUCUGUCACAUCUUCUAAAAUAAAAUAACAAGAAAAGCAGGAAAAGAAAAAGAAAAAAUGGCACCCAUUGAUCCUUACUCCUACACAGACUCAACCCCACCCACUCGCAAAUUACAUCUCCCUCAACAGGAUAAUGAGAACCUUCAUAGUUGUAGUAUUUCUACUUCUCAGUGGCAAAACAAAGGGGAAAAAACCUCCACCACCAGGGUACUAAUGUAAACCCGACGUUGAAAUCAAAACCAUCACCACAAGAGCUUCUACUAAGUUUUUAUGUUACGACAAACAACUUGAGAUGAAAUCAAAUCUGUAAAUUGGGAAAUUACUAAAUUCAAAGUUUAGAGAUUGCAACUUUGAGAAAUUUACUAAAAUCAAAGGUUAAUAAUGUACGAUUGUAAUGUUCCAUAUCCACAAAUAUUUUAAAAUUUGUCAAAUUCGGGUUGGGUGAUUUUGGUGUUGUCUUAAAUCCCCUCAAUUUGAGGGUGUCCAGUGUGGUUUUUGUUGAAACGGAAUUAGAGGGAAUCAGGGAAUUAGGGUAUAGAAAUUGGGUGAAAUUGCUAAAUGGACUGAGUGUGUGUUCCAGCUGGAUUUUUUAUUGCCACUUGGGCAUCACCUUAGGUGUACAUGACAUUUUCGUCCAAAUUAAUUCGAAAAGUUUACGGCCGAAAUGAAAGUGUUAAAAUGUCGUAUGAUGAGGAUAUAUUUCGUAAACUUAAAAGUUUGAGAACUAAAAUCGUUUUAGGUGGAAAGUACAGGGACCAAAUAUAUAUAUAUAUAUAUAUAUAUAUAUAUAUAUAUAUAUAUAUAUAUAUAUAUAUAUAUAUAUAUGCUUCUAGGCAAACCUCAUGGCUGUCUCUGCACCCCUACCUCCUUUAUCACUGAGCAAUCAUUUAGGGGCCUUAGCUGGUGAUCCGGGCUGUUUCCCUCUAUAUAUAUAUAUAUAUAUAUAUAUAUAUAUAUAUAUAUAUAUAUAUAUAUAUAUAUAUAUAUAUAUAUAUAUAUAUAUGUGUGUGUGUGUGUGUGUGUGUCAACAUUUUAUAUGAAGGGUAAAUUAGGGCCACCCAUGUGGUAAGGUCAAAUUAUAAAAAAAAUCUCUUAUGUUUGGGUAAUUACAACGACCCCGUCAACUAUGAAUCUUCUUACACGUCCACCAGAUGGGUACCAAAUUUAGUGGAAUCUUCUAUAAUAUGUGGAAUAUUUUUCCGUUUGUACCCGUUUUAUCCCAUUCGAGCUCCACAUUUUGAAACAAGAUGAUCAUAAGAUGUGUCUCUUAACUUGUAAAUAUCAUAUUCCGGUGCAUCAAAAACAUUAUUUUGCACAAAACGAGUACAAAUUUGAGAACAUUUCACGGAUUCUAGAAGAUCAUGUUGAAUUUGACACCAUAAGGGAAGAGAUGUAAGAAAAUUCAAAAUUUAGGGGGUGAUUGUAAUUAUAUAAACAACAUGCAUUUUUUCGUAAUUUGACCUUAUCAUGUGAGUGUGGUCCUAAUUUACCAUUUACAUCGAAUUAUAGAUUGGAAAGGAGAAAUGGUUAAAUACAGAAUGUCAGAAAUAUGAUUUGAAAGACGAGAUAUAAUUAGGGCUUUUGUUAGCCAAUCAAAAUUGGGCAAUCAAUUCUUUUUCAUUCUUUAUCAUACUAUUUGAACACCUUUAGUAAAAAUUCUGAUUAGUUACGUAUCUUGUGUAUGAUUAGUUAUGCAGAACGAGGAAAAGAUUGUUGACAACAACAGUAAACACAUUUGAGUGGUUAAAAAAAAAACAAAAAAGGUUCCUGAAAAUCAGAUUACUGAUAUUUUGCAUGGCAGUUGACAACUGUCAUAUCUUGGCAGCUGCCUCGGUGUAUCACAUGCUUUGGUUUUAGGGUUUUUUUGUACUCUUUCUCCACAAACUGUUGCUAUAUAACACAGUCCCAUCUAUCAGUCCUCUCUACCACAAAAACUCAACCUACAAUGGAGUCCUCAAAGAUCUUAGCCCUUUUUCUCAUUUCCAUCCUCUCCGUUUCAGCCUCCGCCUCUCGCAUUAUCGAAAAAGAUUGCGGCUCGUGUUCCCAGCCGCCUAAAACCCCUUCCGUUAAGCCCCCUUCCACUACACCGAAGCUCCCCGUUCCACCGGUCACUGUCCCUAAAUUGCCCGUCCCGCCGGUCUCAAUUCCCAAAUUGCCCAUCCCACCCGUCACUGUCCCGAAACUGCCCAUCCCACCGGUUACAGUCCCAAAACUGCCCGUGCCGCCAGUAACCGUUCCUAAACUACCCCUCCCACCAGUAGCUGUUCCUAAACUACCCCUCCCACCAGUAGCUGUCCCUAAACUGCCCCUGCCGCCAGUAGCGGUGCCAAAACUGCCACUCCCACCCGUAGCCGUGCCAAAACUGCCAUUGCCGCCAGUGGCAAUCCCCAAACUGCCAUUGCCGCCGGUCGGAAUCCCUCCAGUGCUCAACCCACCAUCCACCGGAAAGGCCUGCCCACCACCGCCAGGGAAAGGGAAAGCAGCCAGCUGCCCGAUCGACACACUGAAGUUGGGUGCAUGUGUGGAUCUUCUAGGUGGGCUGGUCCACAUUGGAUUGGGCGAUCCGGCUGUGAAUGAAUGCUGCCCGAUAAUAUCGGGGCUUGUUGAGGCUGAAGCUGCAGCAUGCUUGUGCACAACUCUUAAAGUUAAAGCCCUAAAUCUCAAAUUAUAUGUCCCUAUUGCUCUUCAGCUCCUUGUCUCCUGUGGAAAGACACCACCUCCCGGCUACGAAUGCUCUAUCUAGAUUCCACUUUGGUAAUCAUCAUUUUUUCUCUCACAUAUGUAUACAUUAUUUGGCUAUUAUGCGCAUGAAAUACUUAUUACAUCAUUGUAAUAAUUAUAAUUUUUUUUUGGUUAUGCAGGUUUGCUAGCUAGAUGGAUUGAAGAAUCCAAAUCGACAUGAGAGGAUGUCGGGCUCGCAUGCAUGGGUUUCGUUUUCGUUAUUUGUUUGUUGUCUUCCAAUCCUUCAUUUUUUUUUUCUUGCUGGAAUUAAUAGUUGAUGUUUGCGUUUGUUCGGUCAACACCAUUUCAUUGUGUAAAAGUUUGUCAUAUUCAUGUAUUGUUUGUUGAUGAGAAAGCAGUAUAAUUAAUCAAAAAUGAUUCUAGAUGAAACACAUGCAAACUUGAGUUCAUCUAUCUUAAUUUAUUUGUUGAAAAUUAUAAUAGUUGGAGAUUGGAUGCUAUGAUCCACGAGCUUAGUACGAAAUUGAGAAUGAUUGUCGAGCGCAAUUUACUAAGCAAAGUUCAGAAAGACUAAUGUUAUGGUUCUGAUCUACAGACACUUAGAUGAAACUAUUGUUUGGACUAUAUUCAUGAGUAGAGAAUCCCCAGAUAUUAUGGUGUAUACUCGCUAAUCAUUUUCAUCAUCAAAAGACUAUACUCUUGCCUGAAGUAAGGACAAGUAGAUUCUAUUAUGGCUUAUGUAAAAUCGGAAUUAGUCUUAAAAAAAUAGACAAAUGCGAUAUAUGUGUUGGAUCUAGGCAUUGGUGGGGCACAUGUAGUGCAAUAAGCGUUGUUGUUGUAGAUGUAAAUAAUAAUGCACCAGCAUAUACUAGUAUGAUAAAGAUCAAUAUUCUCAAUGUGGAGUUCGUUGCUCAACUUCCAUACUUGGGGCACAUCUGACCAAAUAAAUCAUAUUAGAAUAUGAUGGGAGUACUGAUUUCUGAAAUAUGCAUUAUGAUCAUUUUUUUGUCUUUAGUUUAUUAGUUUAUUGGAUCUAAAUCAUCUUAUUUCAUAUUCUCUUGUUAUGAACCAUAUUCGAACUUGGAUUAUAUUUAGUUUAUGCUAUAGACUAUAUUCUUACGUGACUAUAUAUUCUAAAUAAAUUAUUAUAGUAUUCUUUGGUGUUUAUUUAACUUGCUGAAUUUUAUUUAGUACCUAAAGUGCUAAAUAUAUAUGACUAGAAAGAUCCCUGUAUUGUAAAAUUCACGUAGGAAAGGUCCCCCUCCUAUUUAAGUUAGUGAGAACACCUUUAGAUCUUAGUUAGGCUAAGAAAUAGAAGUAAACUACUAAUACUACCUUUAAUUUACUAAUACUACCUUUAAUGAUUUAUAUCUUAUUAACCAUAACUUUUUACUUCUAUCUCUUCUCUCUCUUUUCUCUCAAUCUGAAAAUCGUUCCUUCUCUUCCAACUUUCUUCUCUCUAUCCUCAUUUUCUUGUCUUCUCCAUUUAUUACUGUCUUGGCCUGCAAUAUUACUGUCUCCAACAGUAAUAUUACUGUCUGAGACACUAAUUUACUGUAUUUAUUCAUUUUAUCGUCUUGGCCGGCAAUUUUGCUGUAUUCGACCGUAAUAUUACUGUCUCAUGCAGUAAUAUUACUUUUUGGGAAAAUAAUAUUUAGUGAUAUUAAUGUUAGGGACAAUAAUAUUUAGUAAUAGUACUGUUUGGGACAGUAAUAUUACUGUUUCGGCAUUCACUAUUACUGUCUUAGACAAUAAUUUUGUUGUUAAUAAGGUAAUCUAGAGAGAUAAAAAAAAGUUUGGAAAAGCAAAAGUCAACGUCGGAAUCUUGCCGGAAAAAAUAUUUCAGAGAAAAAGUCUAAAAAAGUAUUCUUUCAAAAAAUUAUGAAAAUGAGGGUUAAUGUUACAUAGUUGUUCAAAUAUGGGAUCAAUGUGCAAUAUUGAUGAUGUUAGAAUAUAAUAUAUGAAACUGAUAGAAAUUAUAUAAGAGUUAUUUUAGACAAAAGACAUGGAGGUCAUUUGCCAGACUGUUUUUUAUGUUAACGUAUAUGCAGUUAAGUCACUUGUCAUAGGCCUAUUUGGCAUUUGCCCCUCAAAAUAUAAAGUACUUUUAUUAUGUGUUUGUUUUUUUUAUUUUUUUCAUUAUAUUAAAUAUAAAUUUGAACACCCUCUGUAAAAAUUCCGAGUUCACCACCUCCAGCGUGCAUCCAACAGUUAUAUAUAUCUUAUGUUACAUGCAUGAUUAGUUAAGCAGGAGAGGGUAACCAAAAAAAGAAAAAGAAAAAAAAGGCUCCCAGAAAGAUUACUGAAUUUGCAUGGCAGUUGACAACUAGCAUAUUUUGGAAGCUGCCUCGGUGUAGAGUCACAUGCUUCGGUUUUAGGGUUUUUUUUGUAUUCUUUCUCCACUUACUGUUACUAUUUAACACAGUCCCAUCUAUUACUCUUCUGUACCACCGAAACUCAACCAACAAUAAUAAUGGAGUACUCCUCAAAGAUGUUAGCUCUCUUUCUCAUUUCCAUGCUCUCCGUUUCAGCCUCCGCCUCUCGCAUUAUCGAAAAAGACUGUGCCCCUAAAACCCCCUCCGUAAAACCCCCUUCCACUAUCCCUAAGCUGCCCGUUCCACCUGUCACUAUCCCUAAGCUGCCCGUUCCACCCGUCUCAAUUCCCAAAUUGCCCCUCCCACCGGUCUCAAUUCCCAAACUACCCCUCCCACCCGUAGCUGUCCCUAAACUGCCCCUCCCACCAGUAGCUGUCCCAAAACUGCCCCUCCCACCAGUAGCAGUGCCGAAACUGCCCCUCCCACCAGUCACAUUGCCCAAUCUGCCAUUGCCGCCAGUGGCAAUCCCCAAACUGCCCCUCCCACCAGUUGGAAUCCCUCCAGUGCUGGACCCACCAACCACCGGAACAGCCUGCCCGCCGCCACCCGGGAAAGCGUCAGAAAGCUGCCCGAUAGACACACUGAAGCUGGGUGCAUGCGUGGAUCUUCUAGGUGGGCUGGUCCACAUUGGAUUGGGAGAUCCAGCUGUGAAUGAAUGCUGCCCGAUAAUAUCGGGGCUUGUCGAGGCUGAAGCUGCAGUAUGCUUGUGCACAACUCUUAAAAUCAAAGCCCUAAACCUCAAAUUAUAUGUCCCUAUUGCUCUUCAGCUUCUCGUCACCUGUGGAAAGUCACCACCUCCUGGCUACGAAUGCUCUAUCUAGAUUCCACUUGGGUAAUUCAUUAAUUUUUCUCCCACAUUUGUAUACAUAAUUUGGCUAUUAUGCGCAUGAAAUACUUAUUACAUCAUUGUAAUAAUUAUAC
This 66864-nucleotide long non-coding RNA is filed under the name Erythranthe guttata (spotted monkey flower). RNAcentral describes it as "long non-coding RNA (EGUT_LNC003793)". Lineage: Eukaryota; Viridiplantae; Streptophyta; Magnoliopsida; Lamiales; Phrymaceae. The record is from RNAcentral.